RNAcentral lists this long non-coding RNA (57958 nucleotides) under Fragaria vesca (wild strawberry). RNAcentral's name for it is "long non-coding RNA (FVES_LNC001365)". The record is from RNAcentral. Lineage: Eukaryota; Viridiplantae; Streptophyta; Magnoliopsida; Rosales; Rosaceae.
UUUGGAUAAAUAAGGAUGCUUGUAUCUGAAAAGGCAUGUGUGUUCAAAAUUUAUAUUACACACACUUGAGCUAGAGUUCGGAUUUCGGAAAGUUUCAUUGUAGCUUAAGAAAAUGGUUCAAUGCAUUAACCAAUAACCAUGCAUAUCGUAUAUUAAUUUCCAAACUAUACAUCUUUAACGACUACAUCGAUCGAUCGAUCGGCGUACUACAACAUUGUUAUUCCAAGAUGUUAAUUUACCAUGACAGUAUAUUGGAAUUAGUCCACUAAAUUGGCUUGAAUGUUGAAUCCUUCACUAAGUAUCCCUUAAACCUAACCUUCUUUCCGGUUCAAUCUGGCUAUGCCAUGCAGCUUAAGCUUAUAUAGCUUUCAAUGGAAGUAGCUAGGAUUAUUCUUACAGAACAUCUAGCCAAAAUGAAAAUUGAUUGGUGAUCUGAAUUAUAUAAAUUAUCGUAGUCUUUGAGAAUGAUAGCAAUCAAUAGUUAAACGGUCUUCAAAUUCGGCCGCAUUUUACAAGACUGAUAUGUGCACAAGGAAAUAAGUUCCAUACAUUAAAUACAUGAUUGAGGAAUAUUAGUAUACGAGUAUGACAGAGAAACUAUAUAUGUCAAACCACAUUGCUUAGGAAAUUGCAUUACAUGUUUUCAUAUAUGUUGCCAAUUCACUUGGAUCACUCGGGUUCAAACACAGCUAGCCUUUUCAAUCAAUCAGACCAGUUCAGACCAACAGUUUGGUCCAACAAACUCUUGUUUGAAUAUGAGGAUUGGAAUUUGGAAAUAAGUAAACCGUGUGCCGUUUCAAUAUUGAAACAAAUUAUAUAUGCCAGCCAACAUUGACUUAGUUAUAUAAUCCCAUGCAUUCCCACCUCUAUAUAUAAGGCAUCAUCACACAGAAAGCCAAACUCAUCACAGUUCACAGAAAGACAUUGCAGCAAGCUAGCUAGCGUUGGUGUUUGUUAGAGACGAUAUAUAACUUGAAGCAGGAUCUGAUCAAUUAGUCUGAAGCUAUGGUUUUGCAUGUGUUGAACAUCUUCAGCUGCUUUUCGGAAAUCUCCGAGAGCAAACGUUUAAUCUGCGAGGGCGAUGUCUGUGUUCUCGGAAAUCGUCGACAGUUGGGCGCCGCACGAGGAAGAAGAUUGAAGAAGAGACACAGCCUUGGGAUCGUUUCGUUUGCCAGGAUUUCAAGGAGAAUGCGAUAGAGCUUCUAGCUCGACACAAGUCAUUUUAAGCUAAUAAGCUGUAUCACUAUUACACAGAUCUAAUAGCAACAAGGGUCAUCUAAAGGUGUUAAAUAUAUGUAUGGAAAUCCAUUUGUGAUAUUACGAUAUUUAUGUAAUACGUACUUUCAUCGAUCAGCUAAAGCAAUUAGUUUGGUUUUAUGUAAAUUGGGAUCCUUUUCUACCAAAAUUAAGACGUUGGCUGGUUGAUGUAUCUCAAUUCUCAUUAAGAAUUUCAUAUAAGUUGCUUCUUGCUCGUGGAUUUGUUGUUUUCCAGCUCCCAAAAAUUGACGAUUUCGUUGCUAGAAUAAAUGAGGGUACAUUUAGAGCAACACAAUCAUAUACACGAGAACCUAGCUUCGACUGUGUAAGCUAAUUGCCAUAACGGGUGAGAAAGCAAAGACAUCAAGGAAAUAGAUUAUGAAGCUCCUAAACCGAAGGAUAUAAUCUGUUCGUCUAACCAACCUCCACCAACAGAUAUCUACUUUUGUAGUUUUUUGUAUGCACAGUUUCAAGACAGAAAUGAUGCUGACAAGAUAUCUCCACCCUUAUAGGCAAUGUGCUUAUUCGACGUAAAGGACCAGCAUCCACUAACAAAGCAGCAUUGUAAUUUUUGUUUUUUUUUAAAAAACCCUUAACUUACCCACCCAUCAAUGAAAUAUGUCAGCGAGAAUGGAACCUAUAGCAUGCAUAUAAUCUUUACAAUAUUAGAUUUAUAGAAGUGAAAUUUACUCUUUAAAUUGAAAUCUACACGCUCAUUUUCUAUUUUUAGUCAUCAUUCUCAUAAAAAUACGAAAUUUGAGUCAUUAAGGACAAAAUUUAAGUUAUCAAAAAAUGAGAGUAUGAAUUUUAAUUUGAGAAGUAUAGAUUUCACUUCUCUAAAUGUAUAACUUACCAACAUGGUCACGAUUCACCAAUAACAAAACAGUAUUAUAUUCACUAUUAUUUAUGGACAUCUGUAAGAGAUAUAACGUACGGUGACAUAUCCUCCACCCUAAUAUAAUUUAUUAAAUCAUUGCUCAAGAAAUUAGGAAUCAAAUUUGUCAACUAGCAAAUUUGUUGAUCAUGAAUGACCAUCUCUCUCUCUGUUUGAUUUGAUGGUCAUACAAACCAACAAAUUUGCUGGUCGGUAAAUUUGAUUCCAAAAAAUUGGUUAGUAUUUCUGUAGAGUUUCGGUCAAAUUUGAGGGGAGCAGAUCACUGUCCCCAACUCCUCUGUCCCUCCUCAGUUCCCUGUCCCCCUUCGCUUUAUCCAACUAGAUCGUUGACAUCUGCCUUCUUACUCAUAAUUAUGUCGAAUUUACAACGUACUAACGUCCAAUUAUAGUUUCACUUUCAUAUAUACCAAAGCCAAAUGAAACCAAUAAUCUAGGAGCGCACAGGAUCAUAGUUUCCUUCACCAGUAAUCUUGAUUCUUGAAUCAAAGAUUAGGAAGAAAAAAGGAGAUCGGUUUGAGAGGCAAUGAUAGUGCACUGUGCACAUGUACAUUAUAAUAGCACCGGUAUGAAGAGGAAUUCUCAAAGCAAUUACAUGAACAGGCAUGAACAGGAGUAAAAUCUAAACAACCUAAUUCUCAUCAACCUGUAACCAUGUACAAGGCCUCGACUACAUUUAUGCAAUUAUGUUGCUUUAACAACUCCUACGCAAUCUGUCAUGACCACAGUGAAUCAUCUUCUGCCCGUGUGUGCUGCUUCUGCCAGUCAGUGAUCCUCACCUAGUAAAGCCAGAACAGGACUUUCUGUUAAACCUAUCUCUCCUCAAAUUCUGAGUAGAUGAUAUAUCAAGUCGAGCAAAUACAUACCUUCAUUUCAUCUUGGCAAACUUCCCUUUCGAGGUCAAAAAUGGAUAAUCGCCAUACCGUUCUAUCAUAACAAGAUCAGAAGAUGAAACCCAGAGAUAUACGUCUCAGCUAUGUACUCUAUCUGUUGAGUCCUCCAGAUAACCAUCUGGACUCAGAGUUGCAAAGCCAAGUCUGGCUGCUGAGAGUCGAUAACACCAGAUGACUGUUUCACUGGAGACCCUGGGCACUGGAAACCAAUAUUUAAAUCUGGAGGAAGACAUUCCUGUUUCUGUCUUGGCUGGGCACAAGGACUGUGAGCCCUCCAAGGGGGUGGCACCUGAAACCUAGAUAAAUCAGCUGCUGCUAACUGAGGGAAAAAUAUAGGCCGAUUUUGGAACUGCGGUUCAUUCACCAUAUGAACAGGUCGUGGUAAAAAAGUUGGAAAUGAAAAACUGUUCUCAGUCUGGAAUUGCAUUGCACCAGAAUUAGGAACCACCCCUCGAACUCGUGAAAUUUGUGAAUGAAACUCUCGGGAUGGGUUAUAUAAUGAAUCUGAAAAGAUCUGACCAUUAGCUACUGUGGGAUUGUCUGUUGGCUGUUUAAACGCUCCACCCCCAAUAGACAUCCAAGCACGGGCAGUAGCUGCUGCAGCAUUGCUUGGGUCGUCUCUUCUCGUUGAUGGAACCGAUGACAUGACAGGUUUAGUAUCAGUUGACGAUUGAGUUGAUAAGUUCUGUUGCUUUUGUGUCUUUUCCGCCAAUUUUUUCAUCAGCUGUACUGGGUCACUAAGACCCUGCUCGUGUGCAUGAGGAAAGUAAGCUUCAGUUCUUUCCAUUUGGCUAGGAGCCCUAUCAGAAGAACCAAUCAUCCGAUUCUCCGAACAAGCACUGGCACCUUUCCCAUUAGGCAACCGUGAGGUAACAACACCAUUAGAAUCCGGCAUCUUGAAAGGUAAAGACUGCGGAAUAUUCAUGUUCCUCAAUGCUGUACCUCUGGACCUUGAAGCUGCUGGCUCUGAGUUUCUUGCUAAUUGCUUUUCUGGAACAAGGUUGGCGUUAUUUUGAUUAGCUGAGGGUACAGAGUUCAACUCAACUUUCUUUGGGACCUGUUUCCCACUCUCAAUAAAUCUGGAUUGUGGAUUUUGCUGCUGAUGAAAUGCAUUAACUGCAUGACCACCUUUUGUUCCAACAGAACUAAUGACAGAGUGUUUCUCUUCUGAGUAAUUCCCCCUAGAAGAACCAAAUAACAAUGGUCUCCCUGCUGAAGUUGGCACACUAACACAUUGCUGUCUUUCUUCAAUAACAGGCUUAGUAACAGAGCGAUCCUUAGCAGGAACUGAAAUCCUUAAAGUUCUAUUAUCCUUUCUAGGUUCAUUGUGUGAAAAGAAUCUUGGAGGCAAAGCAGAUUGACUUUGGGUACCUUUGUUUACCAUCAGUACAGGGGUUGGCAGUGGCUCAUAUUCUUCGACCCAUCCACGACCAAAUUUACAACCAUCAGGUAAGGCCUGUUCGAUCCUCUUUGAUGCAACUUUCCAAGCAAUUGGUCCAAGACUUCCAGAAAAUCGAGCCAGGCUCCUGGCAUAUGCAUAUUCUGCAUGAAGCCCGACCUGAUUGGAGAUUUCAAAACAUACAUAUUACGAAACAUGAUACAAAGCAAAAUACAGGAGACAAAAGAUAUAAAAAUAAUAAUAUAAAACAUGUGUGCUACAUACUGCAAUAAACUGCUUAGUUUCACCCUCGAAAGUUGUGAAUAUUGAUUCUGAUGUGAUCACAGGCUCACUAGAUAUGUUAUAGGUUGCACGACGGUUGUCAUCAAGCACAGAUGGCUUCUUCCCAGCUUUAGAUGGCAUACUCGGCAUACUCUUCCCUAUAAGGAAAUUAGAGGAGACUUUCCAAUGAGACAACAAUAUCACAAACUAGCUAUACCAGAUCCUUACUGAUCUCAAGAUACAGCCUUUAUCAGCUAGUACCUCAAAUGGCAAAUAUUUGAAAUACAGUAACAGAGAUUUAAAGACACACAUGUUCCUAUAAGCAACUAUCAUUGUAGAUCUACAUGAUUGCAGGCAACAAUAAGCACAUUACUCACCUGAUAGCAUUUCUUCUGUUUUCUCUAGACUAGCUUCAUUCAAGGAUAUAAUACCCUCUACAGGCCCAUCAAUGUUGCUAGGUCUCUCAUAACCAGUUCCUUGUGUUGGAUGGGAACUGUUCUGGACUUCUGCAGCAUUGGCAAGAGUGGCACCUGAGGAGAAAUCUGAGCCAAUAGGUUCCUGUAACGUUCGGGACAGAGGCUUCUUUAUUGGUUUCUUUACCAAGGAAUUUGACUUUGUUUUCUGCACUAAUUUGACCUCCUUUUCUGACCUUUCAUAGUCAAUUCUUAACCUCUCAAAUUUUCUCCUCCCUAGCUCUUGUAUAGAUGAUGCCUUUCAAGAGUACCAGGAUAAAACAGUAAGAACAAACACCAUCAAAGAAAACAUUCAAAUUUGAAAAAUAAGAUAGAAAGACCGAGUUACCUGUUUAUGGUAUAUCGUCUCGGGUGAAUUGUAUUGCAUUGCAUUUGAACAUAUUAAAAAGACAUCACUCUGCAACCAAGAGAAACAGAUUACCAAACUAACAAGACACUCCUUUCCUCCAUAAACAUAAUUUCAUAGUCAUAAACAGAAAUCUUGUAUAACAAGAACAGCUAAUCAAUAAGGUAAACUUACUUCUACAUAGAGAGGGGUCAGUUUAUAAUUUGAUGUCAUUUAUUUCAAUUAAAUGUCCCAGGUUGCCCCAACCCAAAGGUUUACAACGUAAUGCUCCAUUGGUCACAAAUCUGCUAGAUAUGGUAGACUAGUAAACUGCUUCUACUCUAGAAAGACACGUAUACAUCAAUAGAAUAAAUGUUAAAAGGCAUCGGUUUCAAAUUCAUUUACAUAUGUAUACAAGACAAGUAGACAGCAAGGUAGAACUUAGAUGGAAACUUAUAGUUAUACAAAACAUUUCUAAAGUUACUAUUUUACAAGUUCACGUGAUGGCAAACAUGGCAUGCACCAGGAAAAUCAUGCUACCUCUCCUCCCCAACCCUAGGUGCAUUUCCCAUGCAGCCAAGCGAUUCAGAAUUAAUAAUUGUAACUCUAGCAAUCAUUCAAAUUAACUAGAUAUACUGAUAAAAAUAAAAAAUAAAAAAUAAAAACAGAACGAGCAUGAAUCCAAAACGAGGAAGAACAAAAAUGAUAGGUGUGCUCCAUUAUUUUGUAAAAAGUGCUUGCACGCUCCUUCACAAGAAACUUUCACCUUACUCAACCCAAAAGGAUCCCCUAUGGACAAUACAAAAACCAACAUUGAAACAGCUAUCUUUUCAGAUGUAAAAAAACAACCAACCAACCUUAGGUGACUAGCUACAACCCAAUCCCUCAGACAACUAAACUAAGUUAGUUUAGCUGAUUCACCACUACUUGAGGCAAGGCAAAUGAAAUAUCAAAAUUCCAAUCCUCAAUUGAUUACUGAAGAAAAUACAAACAAAAAUGCAUCCUUAGAUCAGGUUCAAGAAUCAAGAUGCCUAGAUCCUUGCCAAAUUUUUCUCCAACUAACUGUUUACAUCUUUAGAUCCUUGAAGAUGUAAAUUGUAAAAUAUUAUGACCAUCAAAAUAACAUAAAACCCACAUCCUGCACCCUUAAUUUUUCUAAGAAGUGAUGCUAUCAUCAUUGUAUUUUGAAUGAACUGAUAAGCAUGAGAUUUAAAACGGCAGAUCCCCUUGCAUAAGGUAUAGUAACAUUACAGAAGUAUUACUAAGAAUCAAAUUUUAAAGACUAACACUAUUCUUAUUACUUGAUGUUUUCCCUCAUCUUUCACCUAUCAUCCUAACUCCCAAAAUAAAAUAGGAAACACCACGCUUGGCCAUAAGAUGGUGUUCACAGCAUGCGGAAACUAAAAGGGAGAAAGAAAGAAAAAAAUCUACCCCUGACAUAACUCAAAGAAAGUUGGACAGCUGUCCCCCAAGACUCAUAAGUACACAGUUGAGUAGCAAAAAAACACCAACCUCAAAUUGUUCUAGUGUAGAAUAUGUUCCAUUUGCCAAUUGCUUCCUCACCGUUGUGAAAUCCAUGGGAUGCUCAAUGACAUCAUGAUAGUCAGGAAGCUGCAAUAUCAAACAUUGUCAAACUGUACCCCAACUUUACAUCGAAUUAGCUGCACAUUCAUUCCAAAAGGAAAAUUUCACACACCUCUUCAGGAUCAACAGGUUCUGCAUACACGCCAUAAGUGUCCUUCCUGCCACAAUGAGAAGUCAAGCAUCAGAAACACGAAAACUUAACCAAUGAGAAUCCCCAAACACAAUAGAAGAAACCGAGGCGCCAUACUUUUGAAGCUUGUCGAGAAUCAACUCCAACGUCUUCUUAUCCGGCAAUGGAGUGACAGCCUGAUGAUGAUCCGACGGCGUUCCUGAACAAACACAGUGAAAACAACUCAGCAAACUCCACAUUCAAACUCGCAACGAAAAUGCUGAGACAAACCGAAAAGCAAACCUGGAGGGGAAUUGAGCUGCUUGGAGUGUGGCUUCAGACCCCGUUCCUGUCAAAAUCCAAUAGGCCCCAUGAGAACCCCAACAAAAUUAAAAAGAAAGAAAAGACUGCGUUAAUGAGACAGAGACAGAGACAGAUAAGAAGGGGGGAGACAGNNNNNNNNNNNNNNNNNNNNNNNNNNNNNNNNNNNNNNNNNNNNNNNNNNNNNNNNNNNNNNNNNNNNNNNNNNNNNNNNNNNNNNNNNNNNNNNNNNNNNNNNNNNNNNNNNNNNNNNNNNNNNAGAGAGAAAAGAAAUGCCUCUCUCUCUCUCUCCUCACUCUCACACUCUCUGUGUGUCUGUGAGUAUUAUACAAGUCUCUGGACCAAUCAGACUACUCUACUGAGCUGGACUCUCACCCACACUAUCUCUCUCUCUCACUUCAUCUUCUUCUUCUUUCAUUACAGAUCCACACUCCCUCUGAUUAUUACAUACCUCACAGUCAUCGUCGUCAUCACCGCCGUCAUUUCCUUCGUAAUCCUCGUCUUCGUCGUCGUCGUCCUUACUGAUCGGCCGCUUCUUCAGCGGCGGCUUCCUCUCAUCCUCGGAUUCCGACGACGACUCCGGCGCGUGGGAGUUACGCGCCAGGGGAGGCGGUGGUUGUUCCGGGUGGAGCUUGGCCAUGAGCUUCAGCUUCUUCUGUAUUCUAAUCUCCUCGUCUUCGUCGGAGUCCUCGGAGUCGUCGUCCAGGUAGUCGUCGUAGUCUAUGGUGUACUUCACAUUCCGGCGCCGGAGACUUCUCCGGACGUCCCGCUCCUCCGCCGGCGAUUCGCCGGAGCGGCGAGCCAGAUCUGCCUUGGACGGCCUUCCCUUCUUCUUCCCCCUCACGAUCUGACCCAUGCGUGGUGUGGUGUCCCCUCUCUCUCUCUCUCUAAUACCCUCUCUCACUCUGAGAGUCUUACUUUCUCUCUCUAUAAACGCGCUCUGGUUUCUCUCUCUAUCUUUUGGUUUGGUUGCAUUAUUUUCGAUGGUGUGGCUUGGCCUUUUUCGAAAUGGGGGGCUGUUUCUGUAGUCCGAGCCUCUGUCCGGGCCUCAGCUUUGGAGGUGAGCAGGUCAAAUAAAUCAUUGACGGCGUCACUGGUUGGGAAAGACGGCGUUUGGUGCUGACCGCUGCCCGGCCGAGGCUUGCGUGCUGCCCGCGAUUCUUGCGCAUUUUGCCUUUUUCUAAUGGCCAGGGGAGGUGGUUGGCGCGUGAGUCCACGCCUUCUCUAAUUUUUCUACACAUGCGUUUUUGGAAAGUGGAUCACUCACACAAAAAUUGAAACUCUGAAUGUGGAAACUGUUAGAAACAAGCAAGUAGAGACCAAGAACGUUAUAUUUUUCGGAUCUGGUCUAUCAUCUAUGUCUGUAGAAAUUAAAUCUCAAUGUACUUUUUUGCGGUGGGAGUGAGUGUUCUACGAUUGUAAAGUUUUACUAACACCAAUGACUCAUAAAGUUUUUAAAAUAUAAUGUGGUAUCAAUCAAAAAUGAAAUGUUAUAUUUGAAUCUUUUACUACAUAUUUUCACAUGAAUACUCGUAUUUAGAAAUUUAAAUUAAGUGUGACCGUGAAUGUAAUCAACUUUGGUAGUUAAAUAACCUGAACUUGGAAGAAAGAAAGAAAGAAAAAAAAAACUAACUUGACUAAAUUGGAGUCUUGGAUCUUGUAUGAGAGUUACUAUUAGUAAAUACUAAAGUUGUGAUUUCUUAAAGUAUCAAGAAAAAUCCAUAGAGGUGAUAGAGCUAAAUCUAAUUAAAAUUGGAAUAUGAAAUUAUGAAUUUAGAUAAAGGAGAUUAUUACAUAACAGUCAUCUUAUAAGAAGGUGAGAACCGAUUGAACAUAAGGUUCUAUAUUUACUACUUGGGUAUUGUUCACAUAGCUGUUUGCCAUGUAUAUUAUUAUACCUAAGAAUUAGUAUAACAAAAACACUGAUCAUUUUUUUUUUCCUUUUGUGAAAAGAAGAACUUUCAUUAUAAUGUCUGAAAAAAUGUGCAAAGCUCUCCUCCUUCUAAAACUUAUUCUUAACGAGACUUGCUAAAACUUUCAUUGAUUGUCUUUAACUUGAAUAUAAUCUCUCUUUCUUGCCAUGUAACAUCAAGCAUCUUUUUCUUUUUUUUGUUUCAAGCACAUCAAACAUUUUUAAUGGUGUGUAAUUAAGCCAACACGUGAUGUUUAGUUCCACAAAUUAGAAGGCACGUGGGAGAAAAAUGUGCACGCUCAAUAAGAGGCGAGUAGAGCUACUUCUCUGGUUGGCAAUAAUGGAAAGAGACCCAUCGCGAAGCUGGGCCCACUUUGAAAUGAACAGCCAAUUUAAACAGUUGUAAAUUUAUAAUUGGUCACUCCCUCUCUAAUUUCCCGCUUUCUUUUCCACCAUUUUCGGUGCGGUUCUCUCUUGUUUUACUUUACCUCUAAUCAAAAUCCAUAAGAGCUCCAUGAUUGUGGUUAUGAGAAUCGGACGGCUGUGAUAUGAUUUGACCAUUUGUGUGAUUGAAACAGACGGUGAUUAGACUAUUUGGGGAUGUGGGAUUCGGACAUCGGAAACCAACAACUGAGUGGGACCUAAUUGCCUGAAAUUCAGCUGGUUUUUCUUGGUAUUGAACCCGAACCCGACCCCGACGAGUCCUAUUUAUGUGUAGAAUCUUGUACACACGUAAAUUUUCCUAUACUAGACAUGUAACAAAAAUAUUUGUAUGUUACACACGUAUCAUAAAUUAAUCGAACAAACUGACAGCUGAUCAUGAGACUGUUAACUUUCAUCAGAACUGUCCAUUUAUUUGAUGCAAUUAGCUGAGCAAACGAUUCUUGUUUAUAUUGAUUUUUUUACAUAGGUGAUAUUCAUUAAUUAAUUCAACUUUUAAACGGUUAAAAUUAUGAUUUACAUUAUCAAAUGUAUAUAAAUAAUUAGAGGUCCGGACGCACACGUACAUACUAGUCCGGACGUAAAUAUUUUUCUAUGUAAUAGCCGCUCCGGCCUUAGGCUAACAGAAUAUUUUUGAAAAUCUAAUAACACAUCAUACAGACUAUUUAGAUGUGUUUUGGAAAGCUUGUAACCAAGCUGUGUUGAGCUUAUCUUUAUAUUUGCAACAAAGUUAUAUAGUAGUACUUUCAUAAAAAAUAAAAUAAAAAGGUAAUUGAUAUAUAGUUUUCGAAGCCAUAAUUGAUAUAUAGUUUCAUGUUCCUUUUUGAUGAAGAAUUGAUAUACAUAGUUACAUACAAGUGAUAAACAGGGUUAUAAAUGAAUAGAUGUGAAUCUAGAAGCCAAAGAUGGACCGUUUUAUCUUUCUAUUUUGGUCAUAGAACAUAUUCAAAUCAAAUAACGUACAUGACUAUAAGCCAUAUAUAUAGGGCAUUUUUCUUCAUCACUCUUCCUUGACUUCCUUCAGAUAUUGAAGAUAGUCUUCAUUGUCCACCAACACCUGGAGAGAUUACGUACCAUGCAUAUAUUUACAGUAUCAAAGAAUGUAAUUAAACUUGCACCAGCUCCAAGCUAAGAAUAAAGAAAACUACAUAACUAUAUAUAUACAGGAUAUUAACUCUUAGCAGUAAAUCAACAUUUCGUUAAUAAUAGCAAAUCAACAUGUAAAUCAAACCAAAUAGUAAUUCAUGACUGCUCUGGAUAUGUUUGUUCCUUUACUUACAAAAUGAAUGAAAGAAACCCUUGAGAAAAAUAAAACAGAAAGGGCCGGGGGUUUUAAUUACCGUUUCGAAGCCAUCUGAAUCAAGGAAUGCAGUGAUUUUGGAAUUGGACCUGGUGGUCGAAUUAUUUUCCCACCAAGUUCCUGGAUAACCUGUUCAACCACUGCUGCACUCUUGUAUACGUCAUCAGUGCCGAUAGCAACCUAAAAUUUUCAAUCAGAAAAACUGUAUACAAUUGAGAAAAUGGAACAGUUUUCUGAUCAACGAAAUCCCGGAAAGAUCAACAAAAGCAAAGAGAAAGAAUGAGUCAAGUCAACAAUGACUUGGCAACUCGUUUCCUUCUUAGUUUAGUAUAGAUGGAUGAAUAUUUGGAAUUAGUUGGGAAUCAUAUAUAACUGAUCACCUGUGCAUAUCCAUUUCCCUUGGUGUACUUGGUCACAUUAUAAUUAUAUUUGAGCUCGAUGAUGACCGUCUGAGUGUAGUUGGAUCCAUAGCCAACCAUAGCUACAGUAUACUGCAUAUAUCCAGCACAUAAUGAAGAUGGAGUAAAAGUUAAUACCAAUUAAGUUCUAGGGUAAUAUGCAUAUUACAACUUCCUACAGGAGAGAUUUGGCAAGUUCCAUUACCUGCUCUUCAGUUUUGUUGUACUUUGGCAGUAGCAAGUUCAUUCCCAAGGCCUGCAUUAUCAUAUAUAUCGAGGAUGCUAGAGAUUAACAUAUAUCGUAAUUUACCGUUUGCUAUGAGGAAGGCUAGGGUUUAAGAUUUAACCCAAGAUAACUAGAUAGAGAAUGUUAAUUUGAACUAUAUACCUUUUCGUAGAACUCAAUAGAACGAUCAAUAUCAACCACAUUAAGACACAUAUGAUUAAGUGGCUCUGGAGUUGGUGGCCUGAGGAGGAGCUCCAAACUGUAGCCGUCGGGAUCAUUCACGAAGGCGUAGAUGGUAGUUCAGCCUGGUGCGACUGGCCCUGGUUCACGAGCUAUCACCCCACCAGCAGCUCGAAUUUUUUCAACCACUGUAUAAAUCUGAUUAAAGAAACAAAAACAACAACGUCGACGUCGUUAUCUAACGUUUAAUUAACCCCAGAUACAUUUCUAAGCAAAAGCUUAAACAGAACUAUACACGUACGUCUUGAGUUGUAAUGCCGAAAUGACUGAAGUCUGUUCCGAGUUCUAACUUGUCAACUGCAUUGUCUGUGUGAAUUAAGAUAUUUAGAACUAGUCUAUCAGAUCUUCAGAAGUCAUGGAAUUAAGAACACAAAAGAAGGUCGAGGAAGUAUUUAGAAUAGUAGAAUUUAGGGUUUUCUUUGGGUUGUAAAUUAGGAGACAUUAUCGAGUGCAUAUAUAACAUACGGUGUUGGGUGAGCCCCAGAACAAAUUGAGUCUCUUCAGAUCCAAACCCAAUAACUGCAUUUGAGAAAUUUGCUUCUGGGCAAUCCUUUCUGCUCAACACUUUCAUCCCAAAAAACUCUGUGAAAAAACUGACCAUUGCCAUCAAUUUUCAGAGAAACAAAUUAGCUAGGAUCUCAUAUAUACAUAACUAUAUAUUGAGUUGGAUCAAAUUAAAGUUUUGCCAAAAUUUCAUACUUAAUGGUUCGAUUAAGAUCACCAACUCUUAUAUUGGCACGCAGGAAACGGCGAUCAUCGUUUUGAACCCAUUCCAAAACAUGGUCAGAGGGAUUACUGCUAGCUUCUGUGCUUAAAUCAAUCUGAUUAACACGAAUUUAAUUUUUUUUUUUUUUGGUUGAUUAGGGAUGAAAUAAACAUAUUCUUUGCACUGGCUAGAGAACUCAACUAAGUACUCAACCAUGCAUAAUUAACAUGCAUGCAUGCAUUUAGAGAGCUUACCAAAGAAAUGAGCAAAAGAACACAGUAGACCAACUGCUGGUACUUCAUCACCAUCUUCAUAAGCUUAGAUUGAAAAUUCUUGUAGAAUGAAUAUCAAUUGUAUGUGCCUAGCUCUCACCUAUUUAUAAUUUUCUGCAAGCUUUUUUAAUUCUGACUUUAUUUUAUCAGAUAAUAAUCGGCGUUAUAUUAUAUAUCCCUUUGACCAAAUAUUAGUCCUUGUUCUAAUUACUAUAGUCUUCCUCUGUAAUUUAGACUAGGCUUCUAAAAGGCCCCGCCUAGGACCGCCUAGUCCCUGCCUAUGCUCUACGCUGCAACAAGCCACCUCGUUUUUCUUCUAGGCCUUUGUGUUAGGCUGUGGGCAAUUAGGCGGCUGCCUAGCUAGCCUAGGCUACUAAGCUCUCCGAUUAAUUUGUUUUCUUUUUGUGGUGGGGUUGAUAUUUUGGGGAGCAUGAAAGUAUAUAUAAGAGUGAAUUAUGUGUUUAAAAUUAGAAGUGUAUGGGGAAGUUAUGCUAAAUUUUGAAUAAAUUUAUCAUAUAAAUGGGUUUCAUAAGAUUUAUGUUGAAUUAAUUAUCCAUAUUUGACUGUUUUCAAGUAUUUAAGUACAUAAAAUAUAUAUUUUUAAUUAAUAAAUCUUUAAAAAAAUAAAUCGCCUAGUCCCUACCUAGGUUGUCCAGGUUCUAGGCUGCGAGUUACCGCUCGCCUACCAGCGCAUUUUAGAACAUUAAAUUUAGUUGAUUUAUAAUUUGGGUGAUAAGAUUAGGCUUUUGCCUGCUAAUUAUUACCUAAUUACCAAGUUGUGAUUAAUUAUUUCUAUUAUAAAACUUUCUGGGCUGUGAAUUAGUCAGAUGCAUGUAGUCUAAUUUCUGGAACUUAAUUAAUAUCUAGUAAUUACAGGGUUAUUUAACGAGCUGGUCUCUUUUGAUUGGUAUUUGCAUAUUGACUUAGUCUAAAUUGCAGAGUCCGUUCUUUUCCCAAAACUUAAGUUGAAUAAAAUUUAACUAGCAUGUUGACCCGCACAUAGUGAGUGUGUGAAUUUUUUGUUUCUUUUACUAUUACAGUUAUGCUAAAGUCUGAUUUUUCUCUCCACUUUUAUCUCCCCCUCCCACAUUUUAAGUUUCUUUCUUUCUGUUUUUUUUUUGUUUUCAACAUUUGCAAUUACUAAUUUAUCUUUUAUCUAUUAGAAGACAUAUUUUAAAAUUUUAAUCAAUCAAGGACAUUAUAUGUAGUUCAAAAAUUUAACCUUUGACAAGUCAAAAAAGCCUUAUGGCUUUAUUAAUAGAAAUUUGGCAAAUUUGGCAAAUCGUCGGUGAGCUGUGGCUUGGUUGGUUAAGGUGUUUAACUGAUAAUUUUGAGGUCACAUGUUUAAACCUCACUGACAUAUAUAGAGUGUGUGAGUUAUUAAUAAAUAUUUAUAAAAAUAAUAAUAAUAAUAAUAACUACCAAAUGAACUACGUCUGGCUGCUCUUUGGGUUUAGGCUGCUCCUCCCUCUGCAACACCCAUGAUAGUAAACGAGAUCAUAUAUAAUUAAGUAGUGUGGCGGCUUAAGUUGGCAGAGCUAUCUAUUUAAAGGCCAAGAGUCGCCAUGGCACAAUGGCACCCCCCAUGCCACCAAAACAUGCUAGUUAUGCCUCCUAUUACAUGAACGGAAAACCAUUAUCUUUUGGCCUCCACGAUCCAUAUAAAUACUUGACAAAACAAUUAUCAGUUUAGAUUAAUUAGAACUAUGUAGUAUAUCCAGUGCGUACCGGUGGAGAAUUAAUUGAAAUAAUGAUAUAAAAACUUAUAUUGUAAUGCGUAUUUUCAGACUAAAAUUUCUAACUCUGUCCAUGUUUUGUAGUUUAGCCACUUAUGAACAGAUACAUUGAAAGAUAAGAAAGUAUGUCCGUACUAAAGUUUGUAAAUUCAAGAAUUCAAGAUUAGAUAAUCUCUAUAAAUUUCUGAAGUACGUAUAUAUGACAAGUCGAUUCGGCAUAUCAAUACUUGGUAACAUUAGCAAUAUUUUGUUUGAACCCUUACUGAUGAUCAACUAGAUUCAAUUAGAUACCGACCGAAUAUAUGGUCAAUUGAAAACAGCCACUCGUCUUAAUUAAGAGCGGUAUUGAAGAAUUGUUCCAACAACAGAAGCUUGAAUGAUGCAAACUUCUUGUGUUAUGUCAUCCAUGAGUCAUGACAUGCAUGCAUGAAUAUAUGAUCUUCAUGAGAAGUCAAAGUGUUUGUGAUGAUGAGAGAUUGAAAUGGGAAAUGAAAUUUGUGAAGGUCAAGAUGGGGGUGUUGAAUAUGAUUUUCAUUGAUUCACAAUAUUACAAUUGUACAUAUAUAUACUAGCUAUUCUAGAUUCUAUGUAUAUGUAUGGAAAACAGUAAAUACAAAUAAAAGCAUUUAUACGUAGUUAUAACAUAGAAUCAAAACAGCCUACAAACACGCCCCCCCUUAAACUUGGCGGCUCCGGACAAACAAGUUUGGUGGAAAGGAGAAGGUGGCGUGUCUUGUGAAGCGAUUUUGUGAGUAAAUCAGCAUGUCGAUCAACGAAGGGAAUGAAGCAGACUCGAUGACUUCCAAGGGCAACUUUUUCGUGAACAUAAUGAUAGUCAAGCUUGAUAUGUUUGGUGCUAGCGUGAAACACUGUAUUAGAAGUCAUGUACGUGGCACUAAGAUUGUCACAGUGCAAUAAGAUAGGCAACUGAACAUGGGCUCCAAGCUCAUGGAGUAGAUAACCAAGGCAACUAAACAUGGGCACCAAGCUCAUAGAGUAGAUAACCAAGCCAAGUAGUUUCUGCACAGGCAACUGAACAUGGGCUGCUUUUUGGAACACCAAGAAAUUAAGUUUGAACCAAGAUACUGGGUUCACAUCCAAAAUCAAUUGGUAAUUGGUAGAGUGGCUCAAACCCUUAUAAUCCACAAACAAUGUCUCAUUUUUCCGAUGUGAGAUUUAUAUCUCAACACGCCCCCGCACGUGUGACGAAUUUUCAAGUCUAACACGUGGACAACAUUUGGGGUAACGUGGAGUUCGUGUGGCCGUUACGUAUUCACAAGUGAACAUGGGUAACCCGCUCUGAUACCAUGUUGAAUAUGAUUUUCAUUGAUUCACAAUAUUAUAAUUGUACAUAUAUAUAUACUAGUUAUAUAUUAUAGAUUCUAUGUAUGGAAAAGAAUAAAUACAAAUAAUAGCAUUGAUAUGUAGUUAUAGCAUUGAUUCUAUUAUAAAAUAGCCUAUGAAUUCUCUAUGGGAGGAGAAUCAGAUGGCUGGGUUUUCUACGUGGGGGGGGGGUGGGGUUGCUAGAAAACUCAAAUUCAUAGAUGAACUUGCGCAUCUGAACCAGUCAAAGCUAGUUUCAGAAUUCCUUAACAGCAGACUAGAUUAAGAAUUCAAUAGCUCAAUUUGAAGAGAAAAUAAAAGAUGCUCUGAUUACGGAGCAAUUCGACAAGACAAAAUCAACAAGUCACAUUUAAGAUCAACUAAUCUCAUGAGAAAACGGAGUUAUUGCACAAGCGAAACAACUCUCUUUUCUGAGAGGCAAACUGUCUGUAAGUCUGUAACGUAAUGUAGUUGCUUUGACUUUACUAUGAAAAAAACACUCUCCUUUUCCUGUUCCUCCAUGUGACGUAACCUUAAUCUGCUAUUUCAUUUCAGGACUAAAAGAGAUUCAGUUUGCAUGUUGUGGUCUAAUCUCAACGCUCAGGCUGCUUGUUUUGUCUGCCCUUCUCAUCCCACUGCUCUCCAACAGCGGGGAGCAUCUCUUUUGGGAUCCAGUGCAUCCGAUGGUGGAUGAACUAUUUGAGCGCUCAAAAAAAAAAAAAAGUCCCAAUGAGCGUUACUGCAAAAGCUAGGGUGUAUAUUUCGGUUGCAGUGUGAAAUUCGUAUGGAAUUAGCAUGUCCAGCAAAGAGAGGAAGCACGAUAUUUGAUUUUGUGUACCAUUACAAAAUCAGAGGGCACGCAGUUAGGAACUCUAUCAUCGUGUUUUUGUGAAAAUAAUAGCCAUAUAUGAAAAAUUAAAAAUCAUGCAUCUUGCAUAGUUUUGAAUCUGAAUUGAACUAUUUACAUAGAAAAAUAUUGGAGAAGAAUUGUACGACCUAAACAUUCACUGAAGCUAUCCUUAUCAUUCGCCGAUGAUAAAGAUGAUGCCUCCGGCGUUGCCAAUUUGCCUUUCUGAGUUCACAAUGUCAUUUUGGCAAAGUUACCUGAAAAAAUAAAUAUGUUUAAAAGCAAGACAGUUGCCCUCGGAACAAGAAUGAAAGGAAAGGAACCAAAAGAGGUUACCUCUGGUGCUAUUCUAGGACGGAGGAGAAAAUAAGUCCUGAAAGAACAGGCCUAAAUCGCCCUUGUGAACAUCAAAUGCCAGCAUUUUGUCCACUACUGUCUGCAUUUGAAUUAAAAAGCGGUAACUAAGAACAUGAUGAACAUGGUAGGAAGGUGUAAUUACUGUAGAAUUGUUUCAUAGCUUUUCACAAGCCAUGUGUGAAUCAUGGGAAUCUAACUUUGUUCAGGGUUCCAUCUAAUAUAGAAAUUGAUGUUCGAUUGAGUUCUUGGAUAAGAAACCUGGUAUUCCUGAUCCUGAAUUGCUAAAUUCUCAUUGCACAAUCGCUCGACGUGCUGAUUAUUUCCAAUAGCUUCCAAUAUAAAUGCUGCUCUCUUGAUAACUUCCUCAGGGACACCUAUGUAUAAACGUUAUUUCAAAAUAUUCAGCUAUUAGACUGAAGCUGCCACCACCAACAGUUCCUUAAGACUGUAGUGGAGAGAAGGAAGUAAACUUGUUUCACCUAUGUGUCACAAAGAUGUGUGUGUGUGGUGGAGAGAAGGAAGUAAACUUGUUUCACCUAUGUGUCACAAAUAUGGGUGUGUGUGUGGGAUGAGGAAAACUCUAAAAUACUUUCUUCUGCCUUUUCUGGAAAUCACUAGCAUAAAGUUCCAAGCUCCCAAAACGUACCAGCAAGUAGUGCACAAUGCAGACCUGCAGGAUGUAAAAUUGUAAACAGACCGAUUCCAAUAACAAUACCCAAUGGGCAUUCUGAACUUACAUAGAUAUAUCUGUAACAUGUCUGUGUGUGCGAGUGCAAGCAAGAGCACUAAGACACUUAUUAGGUUACUAUUUUGUAUCUUCAGAAGGCACAGUUCAUCAUAUUUUCAGAUGUUAGGUAUUCAUAAACUGUUUACAUGCCUAAUGAAAUGACAACGGUGAGUGCAUUGGCAACUUAACUAUAUGUAGCGAGCACAUAUCCAUAGUUUAAACAUUUGGUGUUUGGAAGUAUAUAUACUCACCAUAACUAAGUAGUGCAUGCCCAGGAACUAGCCUGCGAGAAAAGAAAAGCGAAGUUACAAACAUCGGACAGCAAUAUCAUGUUGAACAGCAGGGAACAAAAGAAUACAAUAUGCUCAAGGGUGGAAUCAGAGAUGCUGCUACUCCUGACUGUACAGUUCAUAAAGCCAUAUUUGAUAGUCUAAUGCUAUGGUACAAUUAAAACUGUUUUUAGCACGAAUCAUAAGUACAUAAGAUCUCUGCAACUCAAACAACUGACACUAUUUAGCAGAAGAUAACCGCAAGUUGGCAGGAUUUAGAUGAAUGUGCUCAGUGGUCAGAGAAUAUAGAUGCUCUCAGUUAUGUCGACUAAAUGUGCUACAAUAUAUUUGAAAAAUAUAUUUUCAGCAUUACCACUUUGAUCCAGGGAAAUGGCUUCAUACUCAUACUCAUUUCCGGAAGAGUGACACAUUUCCUCUGCAGCAAGGUGAUGUAUAGAGCUAAUGAAAUCUUACCUAUACAGGAAAACAAUAUCCUCAAUAUCUGUGGAGUUGUCAGGCCUCAGCACACUCAUAGUGUAAAAUGUGAUCUUCUUGGACUGAAAUAGGAAGAAAAUGUUAAUAGUCAUCUUCUCACAGUUUCUACCUGGAAGGAUGAAUCAGUUCUAUAAACCUAAAACCUUACUUUAGGUAAGCAACUCUCGCUGAAUAACUCAGUCAAAUGGCUGCACACUAGAACCUGCAAAAGAUUACAAAUCCCAGACAGAGUGACUUCCAAUUCUCUAUUAUGGUCUAGUGCACAUAUGGUGAAGAUAUGUGCAGAAAAAGAAGAUAAGAUAAAAAAAUAUUUGGAUGAUUUCUAAUAGCUCUAAGAUUCAAAUCUUAUGGCAUGAAGAAAGAGCCUCAACCUUUGGUGGUGAAUCAUAUGACGCGAAGUAGUUUAUGGUUCCACCAAGCAGACCAACGCCAUCUGCCACAAAAUUACGAACAGUUAUGACAUACACAUACUGCGACAGCUGAACACCUCUAUUAUCAAAGAAAUUAUUCUUGUUUGAGAGAGGGGAGAGGCUGACCUUCUGUAAGAGUACCUUUACCAAAUUCAUCCAACAGACACAAAGACCGUGAUGUUGCCUGCCUGUAUGGUUUCUCACAUCAAUGGAUAUCAGUGAAAAGGGGAAUUUUCGUUUUAAACUGUGCUUGGUGUUACAAUGCUCCUGAGGUAUGAUAGGUACCUUGAAUCCUAUUAACCCGCCAAGCAGGUUUAAAACCUAAUAAUUACUACAGAGGAGGUAACCGAUGAUUGCAUUAUCACUUUGCAACAUAAUUGUUUAAGUGACAUGUUAUUGAACAUACAAGGUUUUUAUUCUGUUGAAACAAAUGCUAUUACUUAAAUUGUUUCUCAGAGAGAAUGCUUUUCCCAUCGGUCUUUUCUAGUUACUUAAUUAAUAAUGCAUUUUUUAUGCCUACUAAACACGCCAUUUUGAUAAAAUAUAAAAUUACGAAAAUUUUGAUUAUUGCAUAAAUUACUAAAGCAGAGACAACUUCAGGUUUAUGACAUCAAACAAGUGAAACAAUGACGUAAAUCAGAAGAUGCAAAUGCUGAACUAACUGAAGUUUAUUAAAUCAGCACUGCGUAUAUUUUGGAAGGGGUCUAUUUUGAGUUUACCUUAGCAUCAUCCCUACUUGAUGCAGAUCAAUCAUGAAUGUUGAUUGUUCUGCAGUCAUGAACUUGCUUCCCAUUGCACAGAAUAUUCUGUAAGAAGGAAAUAGAAGCUGCGGUUGUUGUCAUCAAUGGCAUAUGAGUAUAACAAGGAAUGUGACAAAGAUGUUGGUAAUAUAUAGGAAACCCAAACCUAUCAGUCAAACCCACAGUUGCAGCAUCUGCUGGAACAAAACUUCCUAUAUGUGCUAGGAAUACAAUCAAAGCUACCUGGGGAGAAUUAAAUUUUCUCAAUACAAGUGGAUACAUUUUUAAACUAUGUAAUUAACAGAAUGCGAAAGAUCAUCAACUAAAUCAGAAAAAUAAGGUGACCUCAGAACAACUUUACAUUUCUACAUGCAAUACAAAAUCAACAUUCAGCACAGUGUCCUACACAUAGUUAAAAUACAAAUGUCUCUGAUUAUGCACAAGAGGUUAACAAAAGAAUGUCUUGGUACAUAAAUGGCCUCUAGCUCAAUUAACCCUAGCCUUUCUGAAGAAUCACAACAUCCUUACUUGGACAUGUUUAACGACCAAACUUCAGAAUCGUACUCUAAAUAGCUAAUCUCAAUUUUUUUAAGUUGUGAACCAUGUUAAUUGCAAGUACUAUUGAAUGUCAGCCUGUCAGGGAUAACAUAGACACAACAAGUAAGAUAGAGUACUAUUCAUUUACUUAAAUCACAACCACCAAAGACUUUAUGAAUGAGAGAUGCUUAACAUCAGAUUCAAUUAUUUUAUAUGUUGGGACCUAUUGUGGACUUGAAGAAUAGAGAAACACAGAGCUAAAAGCAUCACAUAUGACCUGCUUGAUGUAGAUGCUUUUCCCUGAAUAGUUGGGACCAGUGAUGAUAUUGAUUCUUCCUGAAGCAACAGAACAGUUUAAAAUAAAACUCAGCAUGGAAAGAUGUGACUUUUAUCUUCUGGAAAUGAGUCGAGCACAGUUUAACAGGCCAUAGUCAAACAUAUGGUUUGUUACCAUCAUUUUGAAUCUUUGUAUCAUUGGGAACAAAAGUGUCUACCGUCAUGUCCUGCAAAACAUGUCUGGAAAUGAAAAAACUCUCGUUACUAGCCUUGCAAUUCAUCAUCACCACAGGUACUUUAUAAAAAAAAAUGAUGCAAAUUAGCAGAUAUUUCUCACCUUCCAUUUUGUAUAUCAAGCAAGCAGUCCAUGGUCAAAGUAGGCCUUACAUAAUUGUUUUGACGGGCAACCAACGCCAAUGACAAAAAGCUGAAAUGCCCACAUGAUGAAAUAUUUACUUAUAUAUAGAUUAUAGAACAUGGUAAUCAAGAGAAACUUACAAAAUAAAUGCAGACUUAUCAAAAGAAUGGGACGGAUAAAGGAGGAAGCUAGGGUGAGUACUGGUAUAAUAUUGAUUCUCACCAAUCAAGUUCAGCUACAAAAUUUACAGCUUUAAGCAGAUGCGUUGAAAAUAAAAGUAUAUGCGAGACCAGAUCUCGAGUGAUCGCUCUCUCCAUAUCUGUAUAUGAAUUUUAUGAGUUAAACAAUUCAUAAAGAAAAGAAAUAUCAAAUUAAACCAGAACGAAAAGCACUCUGAAUGUCACAUCUAUCAAAAACUAUUUUCGAAUGCAAGAAUAUUCCUGCAGCUAUCACUAGGCUACCACACCACUUCAGUAAUUUCUGAAAUUUCUGGCAUACCUAGUAUUUUAUGAUAGAUAUCUCCCAGAAGAUUAUCCAAGUCUCGUGUCUUUGGAGUACGAUAAAAGAAUCUUUUUGUUUCUCCUUCUGCAUCAGAGAACUAAGUCUGAAAGCUAUAUUUUCUUAUGAAAAUUAGUCACAGAUAAUUUUCAGUUAUUUUAUGCAAGCAAUAACUUACAGCAAACUCAAAAUCUUGAAGCGUCUCCAGGGUAGCUUCAUCAAGUUUUUCUUCAAAGAUGCACAUCAGGUAUCCUACCCACCAAGCAACAUUAAAAUAAAACUAAAAGGGAGAAUUUAUGUGUCUAGAUCAAAAGCAUAACACUACUAAAAAUUUAAUGAUGCACUGAUUAACUAACAAGUGAGAGGCAAGGAAAAUCUAUCAAUGACAAAUUCACUCAUAAAAUUCAUUUAUAAAUGCAAUGAGAUUGAACCUACCUAUCUGGUGUAUGUAAACAAUACAAGGAACGAGCUUGUAUUUGCACAGUUGAGGAUGUCUUCCAAGUUCCAUCUUUGCAACCUGCCAGGAAACUCCUAAAUCAAAACAAACUUUUUUGGUAAUUCAAAUCUUCUUUCGGAUCAGAUUAUGUAACAGUCACCUCUUCCAGGAAUUCAGGCAAUUCCUCAUAUAUUUGCCUCAGCUCAUCUAACUGUAUAAAAAGGAUAGGAAAAUGAUUUGUUAACAGUCAAAUUAAAAUUUUAGACAAAUUCUAGCAGAACAAGAUGUAUCAAGAAGGAUAUAAGUUAACACGAAAACAAAUUAUAUCACCUCGAUAUUCAGUUUAAAGAAAAGCGUCAUCAAACUAAAGAGAAUAUUAUAUAAAAUAUAAAAUUAAACUGAAGAUCAAGAACAAAAACAAUGAUGAUGAAAAUGAUCAGGAAGGAAAAUAUGCAUUCUUAAGAGUUUUUGGGACUUUAGGCCUUACCUCAGUACAGAAAUCAUCUUUUACAAUUGUCUCAUAUCCCUUCUCUUUACUUCUGGUUACAUCAAGAACACCAAUCACCUGCAAAAAAAGGUGUUUAGAUUAUGCUUAUAAUGUAUUAGAGUGAAACAAAUUCUGAUGAUUGACAAAGAGUAAUGAACACUGGUUAAAAUUCAACUUCUGAUUGUAUUUACAAGUCAUUGUCAUAGGGAUGCGUCGGGUCUUACUAAUUUUUGGUUUAGUUAAUAAUGAUCAUAUCUUCUAGGUAGUCCAAAAAUAAGAAGUCAAUAUACCCAGGUAAGAAGGAAAUCAAAAUAAAUGCAGCUGCACCAGGCUUAAAGAGUGCAGAAUUUUGAGCGCAACUGAUAAGGGAAGACCUUAUAGUAGAUUAAACAACUUUUUUUCUGGAGUUUAAGAGUGGGCUCUAGCGUCUCUAUACAUGGUUCCUUUUUAUUAAAAGACUAACGAAAGAUGAACACUUACUAAAGGUCAAAGGCUAUUGCAUAAACUAACCAAUUCAUCUACAUAAGCAAGCUACCGCUUCGAUAUUGCAUGUAAGGUCAUAAAGGUCAAAGGCUACUGCAUAAACUAACCAAUUCAUGUACAUAAGCAAGCUCGGUUGUAAUGCAUGAAGCAGCCUGCAAUAAAUUUUGUCAAAAGAGCAAGAAAGAAGAUUAGAAUAUAAACAAAAAAAAGGUACAACUAAAUAGAAAAUAAAACAGGGGAAAACCAUUUUGUAGCCCAACAGUUAAAGAAAAACAACAAAAGAAUCAACCUUCUCAACAAUGUCCAGAUUCAGGUAUUUUGCAUGCUCUUGAAGACUCUCAGAAACACCUACUUCAAAUAUCUUGUUCACGUGCAAGAGUGAGCAAACACUCUGAAAGAGAACAAGAAAACAGAAAAAAAAAAAAAUUGAGUCAAAAGAUAUAAUAUUUCACUGAGAAUUAACAAAGUCAUAGAAGAAUGCUACCAUCCUUCUUAAUGAAGAUUAUGCUCUCUGCCAGGUUUACUUAGUCUGUUCUUUUAGUAAGAAACACAAACCAAACUCAUAAAAAUGGAAGAAAAAUAUAAUUAGGACGGAUAAAUAUCCAUACGACAACCUCAAGAGAAAUACAUUUUGUAUUCUGUUCAAACCCCCUUCCCCUCCUUUUUACAAAGACACACAGCUAAGAAGUACAUUACACAGGUGAUAUAUCAGAUAUAUUCUGUCUUACACCAUCUUAUUAUCACUUUGUAGAAAGGUUAACAUCUGUUGCAUGUAAUGCACCGCUUCAGGUAAUUUUUAAUGUUAAGUUAGUCAUCUCUGGAAUGUAGGUGUGAUGACUUAACUGGCCAUUUGCUUCUUAGCUUUUUUUGUUAUGCACAAGAUGUCAAUACACAUUACGAUAUAUGAAGAAGAAUGACGAACAUCAUAAAUUUUAACACAUAUGGAUGCUAGUAGGUAGAUCACCCACAUAAUAAGCCUGUGAGAACUGAGAGAGGAGCCUAUGAUGCUAUACAUAAUCUAAGCUUCCAAGUAGUGAAAUAGAUACAAAAUGACAUGAAACUACGACAUGUGCCAUGAUAUAAAAACAGUCAUAACUCAUUAUGUUCUUCAUAAAGAUACUCGCCUAGCUAAGAGAAUUGGACCAGGUUUUGCACAACAAUAGAAUUAAGACAUAGCAGACAAGAGAAUGCCUACCUUCAAAAAAGCUGUCCAAUCAGUACUGGUGCAUACAGAGCUAGGGGAGUUGAAUUUCUACACAAAACAAAACAAAAGCUUCAAAAUGAAGGAAAAAUAAAAAGCACGGGCAGAACAGAUAUUGCCUUGACAAACAGUCAUGUCUAGCGCUGCCAUGACAGCCACAUAACUAAGAGAUCAUAUGCUACACCAUUAUCAGGUCCUUGAACUCAUACAAAAACAGGUACUAUGUCAAGCUUAACAAGUCUAUUGGUCUAAAGGUAGACAGCAAAAAAAUUGAGAAAUAAUGAAAAAUGACCCUUUUUAUAAUAAAUAACCAACAUACUAACAACUAAUAUAAAGAACCAAAUACAAAAUUUUGAUUAAAGAAUAUAAUUUAGUGUGCAUGAAAAAGCUUAGGGCGCUUAACCAAUGACUCCAGCUGCAGCUAAGUAUCUCUAAACCAAACGUUUACUUUUGGAAAAAGAAAUAAACAGAAUGCAGCAGAAGGAUAGUAUAGAAAAGAUGGUACCUUGAGAAUGUGAGGAAUAUCCUUAACAGAUUUCAGAGUUGACCGUAAAGACAUAACUAGUUCUCCUGAAGAAAUAAAGAAUGAUAUCUGAUUGUCAAAGAAAAAUAGCUAUGGCCUUGACUCCUUGAGUAAUAGAGAUCUUAAUGUUAAGAACGUCAACAUCUUAUUAUUAAUGCACUGAUCGCUUUGGAACCAGUUUAACAUGGCAUCAAUCUUCUUUUGACUAACUGAUAAUGUCAUAUUUAAGCAGUCCUGUAGCUUAAAAUGAAAGGAUACGGCAUCCAGACGACUGUUCAAACUUUCAAGGUCAAUUAUUGGCCUUAAGAACCAGUUCCUAGUAUGAGAAAAUAACAUUCAUCAAUAAGCCAGUGAAUCGGUUUGGAAGUGACUUCCAGUGUUAUGGCAUAAAAAAGUAUCAAUCGAAAACUUUACCUCAAGAGGCGCCUCCCCAUAGGAGUUGCACACUAAAAAAAGGAUGACGAGAUUAGCAAACAAAAACAAGGUGGGAACAAGCAUAUACAUAUAUGUGAUACAUAAGAAAAGGCUACUAACCUUAUUCAACAUGCCAAAUACAGAAAACCUGAAAUUAAAUCAUGUCAGGUUAUUUCACCUAAAAAUAUUCAGCAAACAGUUCAAACUUUACCCUUCUUUUGCUCUACCAAUGCCCAUAUGGCUGGGAUGCUUAUCUGUUUGGAAUAUCUGCAACGCCUCAUGAGCUGCAGCAUCCAGUUUUAGAAAAUUGUUUCUAUGUGGUUGUAAAGGAGUACAUUUAUCCAAGUAUCGUACCAGAACCAGUUCACACCCAGACUCACAUCCCUCAUCCCCAAUGAAAAGAAUAGAGCUAACACACAUAGACACAUGAAAGGAAACAAUGAAACUUCUAUAACAGCAUCGAUUGCAAUAGAUGAAUUCCCGCAUUCCAUUUGUUCAAGUGUGUCUACAAUCCUUUCAUUCUCUAAUAUGGCAAGAAGGCCUCCACUGGCACGAACUUGAACAUCACUUCCCAUGUCCAUCAUAGAACUCAACUGCAGUUGAUAAAACAAAUGAUGAAUUUUAUGGUAAAUAACCGGACAAAUAUGUCAACUCGUGCCCAAACAAAAGAGAGAUAGAAAAUCAAUUACUUAUGAGGAUGGAUAAACCAAUUAUAAUAUUCAAGGGAUAGUAUAUCAAUAUAGCACCAAAAGAACAAAUACAUACAUAAGAUAGAUAGCUUUCCUACUUACAUAACAAAUUCUCUCCUUGAUGUCUAACCCAUCAUCCAUUCCUGUUACUCGAAGGUACAUUAAUCUGUAAAUUUCAAAUAAAUUAAUAAAUAAAUAAUGAUGAUGAUGAUAGAAACUAACAAUGGUGCGUAGUUUUCAACAUCUCUCUAGCAUGGACAUGAAAAAAUGAGGAUUAUAAUCUAUGUUUUAUCAAUCAAGUGAAGUAAGUUGCAAGAAACCUAUCUCCAUAGCCAUUUUUUUUGUUUGAUGGUCAGAUCUAUCCACAAAGAAUAAAACUAAUAGUAGUGAUAUUACAUUAUACUAAAGGCCUUCAUGAAAUAUAAUUUCUCUUUAAUCACUAAAUGAAACCAACUUUAUAAUAAAUGUUUAGAAAAAUUAACGCAUGCAUUGCUCAUGCUUCUAUACCUGUGCCAUGCUUGCUCAUAGCUAAAUACUGAACUUUUCACAAGCUUCACAGCAAAAGCCUCUGUUAUUCCAUCUGCAAUACUUUAAAAAGUAAGCAACAGCUGACAUGCUGAAAUCCAAAGUCAACCGUAUAAUAGCAACAUACCACUUCGUUGUAAAGCAGACAAGAAAGCUUCCUCGCUUUUUGUGCUUGUGUAGAUGAUCAGUGGCUUAGCUUGAUAUUUCACUGAAGAAAUGUUACAGCCAUACAGAAACAGAUAAGAUACAUUAAGGUUUGCUUUGCUUAAUAGUCACUGAACUAAUAUAAGUUAUAGACACGAACAGAUUACGUUUGGUUACUAUGUAAUUCACUAAGAAGAACACCAAUCAGAUUUCAGAAUCAGGAAGUAGUACCAAAUCAAUAGGAGUAGAGAAUAUAGGCUUCCUACAGAAACACGAAUCACAUACCCAUAUCAAUUAGUGGGAAGUCCAUGCUACCAUCUUCCCAGAGUUCCAUCACGUGAAGUUGGCGAAUACUGGAAUCAUAAUAAGAAACUCCCACUCUGAAAAUUAAGCGCCGCAAAUCCAUCAAUUUCGGACUCUACUAUUCGAUCAAUAGCAAAAGGCAAGACAUAUACAGCAGAUAACAUAAGCAACAUUGGCUAUAAGUCAUAAAAAAAGAGAGGCAAUUAUACGCGGUUGAUAAAAAAGAUAAGGUAAGGAAAGCUAAGAACUAAGGACUCACCGGUGACCUUGUCGAAUACAUGCCAUGUACACCUUCAUUUAAAUCCAAAAUAAAAAAUAGAAAAUAAGAAACCUCACUAACCAAAUUGAACAGAAAUAAUUACAAAUCAGAUAUAGUAAAACUUCGUCAUACCUAGUUUUACUCAACAAUAAUAGUAGUCUCUACUAUGAAGAAUUAAACGAAAAUUUAAAGAAAUAUGAGAUGAAUGAUCAUCUGAUCUAAUUUUCUUGAUUUUCUCAGCAAAUUUCACUAGUGAGAAUAUCAAAUUGUGUGAGCCUUAUGAUCUAAACUCAAAACCUAACCUAACAUAACAGGAAAGAACGAUCAAUUUUGGUUUGAAUCGAGUAGCGAUUUCCCUAAUUUGGAUAACAUCAAGUAAAACCUGGACUAAAAACGAUUUCCAGGCAGAAAACCAAAACGGAAGGGAGAGAAACUGAUGAACUAACCUGAGGCAGAGCUUCGGUUUCGUCCAUUUCCUCCACCAUUUCGGCGACCGAGUUGCGACUCAGACGAGCAGAGAGAGCGAGUUGGCUCAGUCACAGAGAGUCACGCAGUUCUAGGCGGGAGAAGUCCCGGACUCGCAUUAUAUUGGCUAACCCGUGGUGGUCUUUUUGGGCCGGGCCGUGAAAAGAGACCCAAAUAAAUAAAUAAAUGAAAGCCCAAAAACAGAAAGUUAAAUUUAGAGAGCAGAAAGAAGUGAGAAGAAAGAGCCCUAAACCCCGAGAUCGAAUGGCUUGGUGGAGAGCUCGUGCUGUUUCGUCGGCGAUCUUGAGUAGGCUCCUCAGCCGCUCGGGCGCCACCGACGUCGCCGCCGUUUCCCGCCGCAGUUUCUCCACAGGUAGACAUCUCGGUAUUUUCUUUUUGAACUCGUUUGAUUAAAAUUAGGAUGAGGGAAGAAAAUUAGAGAAAUGAGGAUUUUGGUUCAAGUUUGGUAUUGCUGUUAGUCAAAGAUUGGGUUUAUAGAAGAUGGGGAAGUCUGUUGUGAGUUUGCUGCAUUGCGGCGGAAGCAUGUGUAGACUUGAGUGAGCUUAACUUAGGAUUGAUUAGGUUCGAAUUUUGGGAAUAUAGAUGGGUUCAAUUCAAUUUCUGCUUUGGUUUAAGCUUGAGUUUGAAUUCGAAUUCAAAUUCAAAUAACUUGGAAUCGGUUGCUGCUAGGCAGCUUGUUGAUUGUUGGAUUUGGUUUUGGAUUAUUGCUUAGUAACUCAAUUAGUAUUCUCUGGUAUUUGGCUAUGCUGAACCAAUUAGUAUUCAAUUUAUGAUUUUUUUAUUCUUUUCUGCGCUUGUUUGUAUUGUAAUUAUUGUGCUCAUUCCGUGAGCAAUCAGAACCUCCUCAGCGAUAGCUUUAUCAAACAAAUAAUAAAUAAAAAGUUGCUGGUGGUGUAAGUUCACUUUUAAAAAGAGUUUCUUUGAGGUUGAGCCCAGCCGGGUUCCAGUUCCUGGUUCUGCUCCUAUGUUCAUCUUGACCGCUAGGAGAUUUAGGGAAACUGUUGAACGAUACUCAAUUGUUUCUAUUGCUGCACAAGAUUGAUUCAUUCUGGUUUUUGUUUGUGAAUGUUAAGUAGUUUGUUUUCCUGAGAUUUUGAUGUACAAGUGAAUCUUACUGAUAGAUAUUGUGUACUUUCCUUGAUGUAGGUAAUCAGUUUUUUACUUAUGACAUCAAUUCACAAUACGGAAGUUGCAUGCCGCUUUCUGCUAUGCACAUUCAAGCCAAAAUACACAACAUUGAGUUAAACCCUGGUCAGGGUGGCAAGUUAGUUCGGGCUCCAGGAACUUGUGCAAAGAUUCUGAAAGAACCCACAGAGAAAGGAUGUCUUGUGAGACUGCCUUCAGGUGUUGAAAAGUGGAUUGAUUCCAAGUGUCGGGCCGUUAUUGGUGAGGUCCCAAGUAAAGGAAAAAAGCCUAAGAAGCUUUAUAAAGCUGGGCAAAGCCGGUGGUUAGGCAUCAGACCAACAGUUAGAGGAGUGGCAAUGAAUCCAUGUGAUCAUCCUCAUGGCGGAGGGGAGGGCAAGAGCAAGAGCAGUGGAUCUCAUGGGAAAUGUUCCCGAACACCUUGGGGCAAGCCUUGUAAGGGUGGGUACAAGACUGGACCCAACAAGCGUAAGAAGUAGCGUUCAUCAUUUUCUUUGUUUUGACAUUACUCUUUGAUUGAGCUUUUUGAUGAAUUCAGAUAUUAAAAAUGUCUCUUCUUAGAUGUUUAACUGAUGAUAAAAUUUGAAGGUUUUCAUACGUUUUUUCUUGAAGUUGGUUUGUAGAUUAGUCUGAAUUGGUUUACGUGUUAGGAAUAAAGCAUGUUCAAUGCUGGUAGCUCAUAUGCAGUUCAUAUUCUCUAUCUUAUAUUCAUUUCCUUGUUUGGUCUUGUGCUAAGAAAAGUAUGGUAUUGAAUAUGCAGAAUUGCUAAGAAUGCAAAAUAGCUCUUUUGAUAGAAUUGCUGUAAAAUCAAUGAUAUCUUUUUUUUAUUUUGAAGGAGAUAAACAAUAUCUUUAAAAUAACCAUCUUUCAGCAAUUCUAUCGUAUAUUCAUGAAUGCUUCAGAAAUUCAUAUGCUUUUCAUCUGUAAACCUCUUUGAUCAUAAUAAUAAGAUCUGUGUUAUGGAAUGCAAACAUUACAUUCCAAAGAGGAUCAUCUAAUCCUAACAUUAGGAAUCUGUGUUAUGGAAUGCAAACGUUACAUUCCAAAGAGGAUCAUCUAAUCCUAACAUUAGGAAGGAACAGUACCCGAAUGCAAAUUCUAGGCCUUCUAAAUAGAAUUUGGCUUCUCUGUUUGGAUUUAUGUUGUUUGGAUUUGUUUUCAAAUGUCUCCUCAACAUGGUCUAAUAGAAGUAAGAAGGGUGUGCGCCCAUUAAUGAAAACCACAGUUCCAAAUUCACUACUUUUAUGUGGACAACACAAUCAUUAAUUCAUCUGCUGAGACAAGAGAAAUGAAUGGCAUUGUGCCAAUGCCUUUUGACCUUUUGUGGUGCAACUGGUGCUCGCUUACCAAUUUUUUUUUAGUGUGAACACUUGCCAUAUUGUUACACAUAGACUUGAACGACUUGACGGAUAAAGAAGUCAACCACUGUGCGCAAUUGAUUUUCAGCCUCAUUGAGGUUUAGUUUGGUACAGCUUUAUUUUAAAAAAAAAAUCAGCUUUUAUCCGAACUUUUAGAUUUUAUAGUGUUUGGUAAAUAAAAGAAAAACAGUUUUUUAAAAAAAUUAUAGGUCACUGGCGACAACUUUAGAAGCAACCUGAAGGUUAUUUUUAAAAGCAGCUGUCACUAAAAACAUUAUAAAUUAAUAAAUUUUAUCUUGACAACACUUUUAAAACUAAUAUUUACCAAACACAAAAUUGUUUUAAUUCACAGCUGAUUAUUUUCACAGUACAGUAACAGUAGUUUUUUUUUAAGCACAGUAAUACUAAACUAGCCCUGAGUAUUACCACCAACCCACACUCUUUAGUGAGGUUAAAGUUAAUAUUUAAAACUAAUAUUUACCAAACACAAAAUUGUUUUAAUUCACAGCUGAUUAUUUUCGCAGUACAGUAACAAUAGUUUUUUUUUUAAAGUCACAGCAAUACUAAACUAGCCCUAAGUAUUACCACCAACCCACACUCUUUAGUGAGGUUAAAGUUAAAGUUUUACCACCAACACACUUUAAUAAUUUAACGUUAAAAUUUAAAGGGUUAAACUGAAUUUAAUCCUUUGUAACAUAUGAGAUGUUAAAGUUUAUAUGAGAUGUUGAAGUUUGAGUAGAAACUGCUUCCAUACGUAAAGAUAUUAUAGAAAAGAUUGUUAAAGAUGUUCCAAACUCGCAAUCGAACCUCAGUUCCGCAUUGCUUCUCCUUCAUUUCCUCCAUAAAAAUGGGUUAAUGCCUUAAUGGCCUAUUUUAGUCCAAAUUCUCGUGUUCUUCAUGGAAAGUGGAAAUCAGUUGUGGAGAUAACAAAGCAUUAAAGUUUGCACGAAGACCAUGUAAUAAAUUGUCUAUUCUAAUAAGGUAACGUGCUGUGAAUCCUGUGAAUAAAAUCCUUCAUUUUUGUUUUCGAUAAAGCUCCCAUAUUAAGAUUCUUCAUCAAUGGAAAACCAUCUAAUUUUAGUAAGAAAAUAUAAAUUAGUUAGACCAAUAGGUCAUGACACCUACCCAUAACGUACGCCCUGACCCUGCAACUAUAUCUACACCAACAAAACACUGACCCCGUUGAUAACGGACCAGAUAUCCCGAUCUUUCAUAAUCCAAUAUUAUCUUUCAAUCAAAACAAAGUAUCCGAAAUAUUAUUACCGGAAUAACUUGGGCCCCAUUUGGUAUAGUUGUGUUUUUUAAAAAAAAUCAGUUUUUAUCUGAACUUUGAAAUUUUAUAAUGUUUGGUAAAUCAAAGAAAAAUAUUUUUUUUUAAAAAAAUUACAUGUCACCGACAACAACUUUUAGAAGCAACCUGAAUGUUAAUUUUAAAAACAGUUAUCAUAAAAACACUAUAAAUUAAUAUAUUUUGACUUUACAGCAGUUUUAGAACUAAUAUUUACCACUUGAGUAAUAGUGAGGAUAUGAUACUCUUGGCUCAUACUUGUGUUAGACUAGAAGAGAAUGUUACGUUUUUAGCAGAACUAGUUGUUUGGAUGAACGAUCGCAUAAUAUUAUUGAAAUGACAAAUGAAUGAUUUAAUACACCCGUCAUGGGUGAGACGGCAAAAAAACCUCAGUUAUUGGCUCAUACUUGUGUUAGACCAUAAGAGAAUGUUACGUUUUUAGCAGAACUAGUUGUUUGGAUGAACGAUCGCAUAAUAUUAUUGAAAUGACAAAUGAAUGAUUUAAUACACCCGUCAUGGGUGAGACGGCAAAAAAACCUUAGUUAUAUUAGCGAGUUAGUAACACAUCAAUUUAAUUUAUGAAGUAUUUGGAUCGAGAUCCACGAUGGUAUCCAAGAAAAGCCAAAAUCAACGCACACACCCGAAAUACUCCUCAAACAUAUUGACAACAAGCUGGUGAGAGUUACGAGUUAGAACCUGAACGCUUGCCGUAUUUCGCGCGUUUAUGGUUAGAUUAUGUUAUACGUAUGAAAAAAAAAAAAACUAAAUUUGACAAAAAUAAAAUAAAGAAAUCAAUAAAAGGAAAGCUGUUUGUUGUCCAAAAAAAUAAUAAAGGGAAAGCUGUUUGUCUCUGAGGCUCUCUGUAUCGAGACGAAACUGAAUACCAUGGUGCUUCUCCACUUCUCUCCCCUCUUAAGGAAAAAACCAAACAUGUCUUUUAAAAUCUGAGAGCCCCCUUUUUGGUCUCACUGAAAUAUAGAGAGAGAGCAGGUUGGGUUGGAUUGUAGGAUAUGGAGCCCCCAUCCUUCGUAUCGAAAGCGAGGACAGCCUUCCAUUCCGCCGCGGCUAAAGCGGAGCGAGUCCUCUCUGACUUGAAGCAGCCCGAUCGCCCAGGUCACCCCUCUUUUCAAAUUUAGUCCAAUCCUUUCAAUUUCCGCUUUACUAUUUUCGUCUCUUUACUCCCUCACACACUUCCCAUUUGACUUUUCCUAUUUAUUCUUUUCCCAUUAGAUUUCAGUUUGGUUCUAAAUUUUUGCUGCAUUUUUUGUGUUUUGAUCGGUGUAGAUUCCGAUAAGACGUCGCCGAGGAGUUUUGCCGAGGAUGAGGAGUCCAAGGUAAAGUUUAUGUUUUAUUGUCAAUGUUUAUUUAGCAAUUCUGUUUCGGUUGACUUGAUUAUUUGUUUUUUGUCGUUUUGUUGUUUAGAACUGGAAAUGUAGGAUCAUUUAGGUUGAAUUUAUGUUUGGUUUACCGGAAAUGAACUGUAGUUACGUGUGACAUGAAAUUGGGUUGACUUGAGUUUAAGCUACAUUGUCGAAUCAGGCUUAGUUAAGUACAUGUGGUUUUGUUACUGGGACGUGUUGAUUUGAAGGCUUUGAGGAAUGUGUUGAUUUUAGUUUCUUGGAAAUGAAAUGGUACAGGGUUUACAUGAAUCAAAGGCUUCAAGGUGGAGACCUCCGAACAUAGGGACAAAGCAGGAAUGGCAGGACAGGAAGCAAGAAUGGCAGGAUAGGUUGAGGAAUAUUGGGAAAGGAAAGAAAGGAGUCGAGGAGACAGAGAAGGCUGAGUAUUCGUCCAUGGCGGUUCCUUAUUAUGACGAAAAUUUGUACAUUCUGAACAUGAAAAAUGAUAUGGAAGCAAAGGUAAUUUUGUUUCUUUGCGUCUUUUGUUUCUUCCUCUGCAUUAUGAAUUUUUAGAUAGUACGGAGUAGUGAUUUGUAUGUUAUACAUUUUUAUUUUCACUACAUAAUUACAUCAUAUUCACGGAUCAGAAGGUAGAGCCUGAUCGGCUGGCUCCUGGCUUGUCAUUUUAUUAGGAAAUAUACAUUUUUUCUUUUAUUUCUUUCAACUCAGAAAUAUAACACGAGUGUGGUGUUUGAUAUGGUCCAUAUUAAGAAUUUUGGUGAUCUAAACCAUUUAUAGUUGCAUUUGGAAACGAGAUGAAAGUCACCAGUUGGGAACAAAAAACCGGCCAUGAAGUUUGUGAUGUUUGACUAAUGCAAUCAAGUUAUAAGUCAUUUUGCUUCAAUUAAUACUGUUUCUUUCUUUCAAUGAUAAAUUAAUUUUUCUUAUUUGCAAGGGGGCAGAUCUAAUACCCUCUGUUGAAAGCUUAGAUGCGGACAACAUAGUGAUUCCACCAUUAUCUGUUAUGAGGCAGUUGGCCACAGCUGUUGAGUAAGUCUUUGUAUUCUGGUCAUUGCUUGAAUUGUACACUUUCUCUGAUAAAACCUUUAGGACCUUUGCAGUCCACUUCUGUAGGAAUUUAUCUAAUUGCAACCUCUCAACAUUGCUAUUACCUAUAUGUCUUAAUGCAGAACAAUAGUCUUUAUUCUCAUAGGUCACAGUGAAUGUGUUUUCACUACCUGUAUAAUUGAAAAGAAUCUUGAAAUUUACGGUAAUUGACAUGGGAUUGUCUACAUGAUUUCCCAACUUUCUUUCCCUAAAGAUUUGGCAACCUUUGACCUUUAUCCAGGGCUGGAAAGAAGUCUAAAUCAAUGAAAGAUAUUUUGGGGUCAUCAGUAAAUUCCUCACCAGGCAGAGAGAGGGGAGGUCUGAGUCUCUCUGUAGUGAAGUCAUUGGUGCUUCGUGAAAAGGAUGAAAAGCUAUCUGAUUUUGGUCGUAAUGAGAAAGUCCUAUCGUUGAUUCACUCUCUAUUUGAUGCAGGUAGAUGCAUACGUGAGGUGACCUCACGGCAGUGACUUUCUUUUUGUUGUUAUGUUUAGUUUUAUUCAUUAUCCUGUUAUGAUCUUUCACUUCCGUUGUAAUAUGUGCAAGAUAUUCGCAGAGGGAAAUUUUUUAAGGCGGAAGUUCGAUUCUGGUACAGACGCGAUUGCCACGGCAUCUAUGCCAAAAGAUAUUCAUGGCGCUCCUCCUGAAAGCCUUGUUGUUAAGUUAGCUGAAGUCAUUGGGAGCUUCAGAACCCUUAAGAAAAUGACACUGUUUUGGUGUAGUGUUGUUUCCGAAGUAAGUUAUGGACAAAGUUUGAGGUAUUUAAAGUAAUGAAGUAAAUUACUAUAUGAAAAGGAGAAAUACAAUGCCACACUUAGAGCUGCUUGUUUAACAACCACAACCCUUUAUUUAAUUUUUGGAACUGAACUCUUUGAAUACAUUUUUGUGUCUCGCUUAUAGUAUUUUAGUGAUAAUGAGUUCAAAUUUAUAAUACAAACUUCUGUUUUGUUUUUAUUGAGUUUUACUUUCAGUGUUGAACUGUUAUAUGGACGAUUUGUGACGUUUUACUGUAUUCUAGAGAGAAAAGGAAAGGAAAAAGAGAGAUAUAAGGUGGCAGUUCCACUUGCUUGUCUAACAGCCGAUACACCUAUAUUUUGAAUGUCAACUUUUCUUGUGAACAAGAGUUAUGUGUAGCUUUCAGCAUUUGUAAAUCCCGAGUUGAAACAUAUUUACCUGGGCUAAUGAAUAGAUUAUACUAUUAAAGAUAUAAUGUCAGGUGCAAAAGGAAUGUGCAAAAUUUAUGUUCAGCUUUAGUAUAUUUAAGGGCAAGAUUCUCCUACCUUGGAGAAUUUGAGUCAGACAAUUCUGAUCCUGUUAAAUUUAAAGAAAGGUUCUUCAAUGUUUAGUAAUUUCCUCAACUGGAAUUGAAUAUAUAAUUUCCUUGUUCAUCAAAUAAUAUUUUGUUGACAAAGUAUGCUUUGAAUUUCCUUCAUAUGCAGCUUAGAAGACUUUGGUCUGAAGAAACAUAUGUACCUAGCAUCCCUGUGGAUGAGAUUCCAGAUCUGAAUUCCUGCCUUUUGUACCAGCAGUUGCAAGUCAUCAAUUGUUGUGUUUCCAGGAAAAGGCGACGUGAGAUUGCCACCGAAACACUAGACUUUGUAAUUAGAGAAGCCAGUCCAAACGCUGAAGAAUCAUCUGUUCCUACAGACAAUGCUGCGGGCCCUAUUUUGUAUGCUCGAAUAAGCACUGGGGAACUAGUUCUCCGACUAGGUGCUAAUCGCCCAUAUAGUAACCUAAAAAUGUUGGAAACUGGUGAACCUAUGUAUACCCCUGUCACUCAGGUAUAUAUAACUGUUUCUUGCUCAAAAGAUAGCUAUUUUAACUUGCUCCCGUAAUAAGGUCUUUGUGCAAUGUCACAUGUAGGAAGCCCCUUUACUUACUGAAGACCUAAUCAAGGAAACAGAGGAGUUUGUGCUUCGCACAGGAAGGUUUGUGUCUGAAUUGUGGCUAUUUUUUUCUUCUUUUCAGUUUCAGCUCAUUUGACAUAGGCAAGUCUAUUUUCCCAAGUACUUUGACAUAAAGAUAGACAGAGAUAGAAAAUAUGCAUUUUUGGUAUUCUAAACCAUUUAGACACUGUUUGAUAGAUGGCCUUGUCUUUUCUGGUCAGUGUUGGUGCUGGAUGUUCUCAACUCCUCUCUGACAUGCAGGCUUUCAAGGUUUCCCCAUUGAAUAAAUUUACAGAUUCACUGAAUGUUUUAUUAGUUAAGUCAACUCAGUUUUGCUUAUUAUUGUAUGUAGGCAGCAAAUCCUGGUUGUGUCUUGGAAGAUUUUGUGAGAUGGCAUUCUCCUCCUGAUUGGACUGAGGCUGAGCCAGGUACCGAGGCUAUAUCUCUGGAAGGUAAUGAUGUAUCAUCCACAAGAGGCCAAUUAAGUAGCCGAAUGCAAAAAGCAGGUGCCACCCUUUCUGUAUUUCGUUUCUAUAUACUGUCUUGCAUCAGAGACAUGCAUAUCCAUUGUUAACAGUUGUAGGACGAUGGUAUGUGUGUCUAGCAGUUGCAAAUGCCACCACAUGUAAAUCUCAUUAACAUUUCUUUUGGUUAUUCUUCAAUGCUAGGAAAUCUCUGGCGUGAGCUAUGGGAUACAUCCAAACCAGUUCCUGCUGUAAAACAAGUACCCCUCUUUGAUGAGGACUUAGCUGUGUAAGUUGGAAGUAUUGCUAGUUUUUUUGUACCUGUUUUUGCUGCUGCCUGACAAUAAUAUUAUCAUGCAUUUCCUGUAGAGAAGGUAUUCUGGAUGGUUUUGAGGACAUAUCACCUUCUGAGCUUUUUGAGCAGCUGUUUAUUUCCUUGGUAAGUUCAUUUCAUAUGAUAUCAUUUGUGCUCUCUCUAUAUGGUUAAGUACACUCCACUCCUCCUAUAUGAUGCUAAUGAUGCCCCUUGGCAUGCAAUCUUCAGCUUGGUUUGGGGUUUCUAAUUGCUGAGACUAAAUUGUCCGAUAACAGCGAUUUUUCAAAGCUGUUCUAUGAAUGCAAGGACUUUGUAGUAUCCACUUGUCAAGGGAAAAUGUGGACAGAGAAGGUUGACGAGCUUUGUCAGGUAUGAAUCCAUACGACUAAACCUCAUUUGGGUUUGAAUGAAGUUUACUUUCAUUAAUUUCAUUCCUGAUUAGAGUAUUUUGUCCAUUCUGUCAAAGUCCAUCUUUUAUGGUGGAAAUUCAAAUCCACAACAAAGAAUGAUAUCCAGACUGUUCACUAUUGAGAACGAGAUCUUCUGAAAUUGUUUAGUCAAAUUUGUGGUACAGGUAUUUGAAACAGUUGAGGCUAUGAUACUCAAUCCAGAGGAAGUCCUAAGAAUGAUGAAGCAGCCGGAAGAAGCCAUGACCCCUUCUUCUAAUGAACCGAAAAGGCGGUUCAGGCGGCUGACCCUCAACUUUGGAGGUAAAGAUAGACAGUUGAAAAAAUCAGCUUCUAAGGACCAAAAGAACUCACAAAGCCCCGGUAGCCAACCAUUUUCAAGUUUCUUUGACAACAAGUCGUCAUUAUUUUCAAAAAAGCCUCCUAAGCCUGAAAAUGCAUCCCCUGUUGAAAAAUCGUCACUUACAGAAGACAGUGAUUGGACAGUUGUUUAGAUAUAACACUUUUUAUUUUAUUUUUUCAUUAUUUUUAUUCGGUUACUUUGGUGGUAAAUGUAAAUUGUUUUACAAAACGAGCUAAUGGGGGUUUCCAUUAGCCACAUCCAAAAUUAAUUUCUUGUUUGAUUACAGAGGAAUGAAGAAUGAAAAAGAUUUUUUACUGGUACAUUAUCGAAGAUUUCUUUUUUUUUUUUCUAAAUUUGGAAACGAGUAUAUUAAGGGUGCUGAAAUUUGCACACCCAUUUUUACAUUCCACACACCCUUUCAAUUUUUUAUUACUCUCUAUUAACUCAUCUUUCAAAACUACCCUUUCGGAGUUACAAUUCCCAUUAGCCGACUUCAUUUUAUUCUUCUUCCCAAUAUCGCCGUCGAAGGAUCCUUCGCCGCCGUUAGUGGAGGAGUGCAAGAAUCUUGGUGGCGGGCCCGGCGUUCUUUUCGACCUUACAGUAAGCUUAAGCAAUUUCUUCAAUGGAAAACGAAGAGCGAAUUUCGACGUUGCUCAAAACCCUGUUCGUUGUCGAAUUUCAUCACCCUCAAUCAUGUUCAAGUCUUCAAGAUUAUUAGCCACUUUCUUCCCACCCCAAUACUACCAUAUUAAUCUCUCUCGUUGAAAAUGGGUUACCAACUUCUCACCUCUCCCACCAUCUUAGUCUGCUUGUUCAUUGAAAGCUUUAUAUAUAUAAUCCACCAUUGAUCGAUCAUCCUUUCCUUGAUUACUAUUCCCAUCAUUCUCACUACAUUUAAAUCCGACGAGGAGAAUAAGUUGAAGCGAAGAAACUGAAAAGGCAGCCCCACUGCGGCCUCCGCCUUGAUGACUCUGACAAGCUCCGUCGCGAGCUCGAACUUCCCUCGCGGCUUUAAAAUUUCCCAAUCACCGGGACCGAAAUUUAUGCCCUCGAUCACCGCAUGCGAAAUAGAUUGAGAUGGUUGAGGCGGUAAGGGCUGGGUAUAGUUAUCCUUGCUGUGGGGGACUGAGAUUUGGAUCAGUCUGAUAAGAACAUUGGGGAGAGAAAGAUUGGGAGUGAGAGACCGAGAGAGGAUUAGUUAAAUCAGCUAAGGAUGAUUCGGUAAAUACACCACAGGGGGUGUGUAGAUAACAAAAAAUGGUGUGUAAAUUUCUGAACCCUAUAUUAAUGACCUCAAAGAAAGCACAACAGCAUCAGUACUAUUUCACAACAUCGACGAAGUCUUGAUCAGAAUACACGGUAAACUGAAGCUCAAAAUUGUGGUUGCUAAAAUUAGCUCAUCCAGACAAGAAUUACAUUCGUGUAUUGCUAUCCUCCAUCUUAACUAACGAAAAAGAAAAUUCUCAGCUACAGGUAUUCAUGAGGUUGUGCUUGCUUUCCUCGUCUUUUUAUUUAAGGUCCUCAUCUUCAUCGUCCUCACUCAACUUAUUGAACCCAUAAUAUUCAGAAAUGAGACUCGGCACAAUGAAAUUCGAAAACACGUAGGCGAAAAGAAGAACCCCUCUGUAAAGAAUCAAUGUGGUAGGUUAUGUGUAGCCCUUUAUGAUAUGUGUUACAAUAAUAAAUGAGAGUGAUGGAGGUGAAAGAACUUACCCAACUUGAAGGAGGACCGAGAUGUCGCCGGACUUGGCAGGGGGAGUGACACCAAGAACAACGGCAGUGUAAUUGUGCAUGGCCCUGCAACUGGUUCCUAGUGAGAGAUUGAAUUGUUGGCUGUGUGAAGCAAGCUUGAUAGGUUCAUAGGUGGAGAGCCAAGGCAGUUUAGUAGUGCCCAGAAGGUGUUUGUGUUGUAGCCUAACAUGCAAGGGAAGCAAUGCAGAGUUGGAGUGAAUGGACCUCAUGGUGUUUGCAGAGUUGUUAUGGAGAGACUAUAGAGAGUUUGGAUAAUGCUUUUGGUAGGAUUGGUGCUGGCUAAGAAGAUUGAUUAUUUUCUCACCUGCUCUUGAGGAGAGUGGCUCCACGCACUAGAUGUGUGGAAUGUGGGCUCUCUAUUGUACAGGGCAAAGCCCAAGACGAUUUCACGAGGAUAUUUGAUGAAAUUCCGAGAUACAGAUUCACCUCGUUUUACAGUUCACUUGCUAUCAUCUACCAAUUACAUAGGGGAGUUUGACCUCUUUUCUCCUUUUAUGAAACGAGUCAUGGGAAGCCACCUCCAUCUGGGAAUGGACAAUUUUUACUUCUUUGUUGCAUUUGGUCAUUGUCCUUUGAUUUUAAUAUCGGUUUCACAGAAGAGCAUACAAAUUAGAAAGAACAAAGUUGUUUAACUAUCUAAUUUUCAUAUAUUCAUUGCUUUAGUUUUAUCUGUGAACUAAACAAAAAACAUAUGACUAAACAAUUCAAACCAUUUGAACCAAACAAUGUAAACCAUUAACCACCAAAAAAAACCAUUGGAAAGUUACUAUAGAUAUCGAUUAUAUGUGUCUGCAGCCCUUAGUGGCCGGGUGUUCCGGCCGGAAGGGUUUCGGUAGAGUUGGGGGAUGCCGGGUACCAGCCAUUCAAUUCACUUUGUAUUGAUUGGAUAUGCAGCUAGUGUUUCGAUCAUGUGGGUCAAUUCUUGUGACAAAUUUACGUUACCAACCAACGAGUCUAUCCAAUUUCCACAUCUAUACUAAUCUAAUCCAGCAACGAGUUCAACUUCUCAUCACAUUUGUCAACGACAUUACUACAUCUGUAGUAUCAAUAAAUACUUUGGUCCUGGAUUUGUCGGAAGACUAAUUAAUAUGGCGGUGUAAAAUGAUCAAUAACCAUAACCAUCAUUGAUAAAAUGAAAUAUUAUUGCAUCAUGAAUCAAUAAAACAAUGCUAAGUGAAGCACGUUUUGGGGUUUGGUUCGAACCAACCCAACUUGCAGCAUACUCUAUAUCAGGCUCCCUCUAACCUAGCCACUCUCUCUAAUUAUUUCUAGUGAUCAAAGGACCGUUGAAAAUCUGCAGUAUCAAACUAUAUAGUUAAUUGGCUUCUAAUUUUGAUCAAAAUGGAGGAUUCAAAAACUUGAACUUCGAGAACCGGUUCAAGUUACCUUAGCUAAUUAACUUGUUGGAGACGAUGGACGGAAAAUUUCGUCUAGUUGGAGAUAUAAUGUUUGUACACACACACAAUAUUGUCUCUAUAGUCUAUAAUAUCCCGCAGCUUCUUUAUUAGACUGGGGCAUCAUUCUAAGCCUAUUUUUUCUUUUUUUUUUUCUUGAGGGAGGCAUCACUCUAAAUUUUUAAUUAUUUUCUCUCGUAAGCCCGCCGUGCGACGUUGAUGACAUUUUAAUUAUUUUCUCUAGUACUUAAAAGCAUGUCUAAUAUUUGUCCCUUAAUUCAUGACACUGUAUAUAUCUACUACAACAUGUAGACUUCUUAGUUACAUUGUUUAUAGAACGGCCGGUAUAAUAGAUCGAGAUACUGAAGAUUGGGAUCGAUCUGUACGUAUAGCUAGCUAGCUUCAAGUAAUAAUGCUGGCCUGACAUGCAUUAUACAUCUAGCUAGCUAGGUAGCGCUAUGCAAAUAAUUUGGCAACCACGCACAAACGAUCGGUGCUAAGCGGGAAACAUGUGGUCAUCCCAAAGAAACCCGAGAGAGAGAGAGAGAGAGAGAGAGAGAGAGAGAGAGAGAGGAGGACGACGNNNNNNNNNNNNNNNNNNNNGAGAGAGAGAGAGGGCAGCUGAAUCUCAUGCAUGCAAACUGCAAAGAGAGAAAGAAAAAGUCCACUAGUAGUGUCGAAGCUGGAUGGAAGACGAGCAACGUGAAAAUCCAGUAGAACAAGUCAGGAGUGGGGCCUUGAUGCAAAUUGGAUCUUACAGUUGAAUGAUCUGAGAGCAGAUAGAGGUUUCCCUUUUUUUUCAAAGGAACAGUUGGGAUUGCAUUAACUGUAUUUCCCCAACACGUUAAUUUAUAGAUGAGAAGAUGAUCGAAUUUAAGAUCGACCAACCGUACUCUUAGUUUCCACCUCUAUAUAAUCCCACUCUCUCAUUCUCCCGCUUCACAACUCAAACCAAGUCUUCUAUCGUCUUAAGUAGUAUUGUAUCACUUUGGCUACUUAAGAAUGGGUACUGCUACUGCUACUUCGAGUUCUAAGUUGCUGCUUCUUGUGCUUUUUGGUGCUUUCAUUUUCACAACUGGUGCAAGCAGGAAGCUUGGAAGUGCUGAAAAGGGUUCCUUUGGUGAUGAGAAAACUAUCUAUCGCCACCCACGUCUUGGUGGAGGCGGUGGUGGACUUGGAGGGGGAGGAGGGCUAGGCGGUGGUGGCGGAGCCGGUGCUGGAGGAGGAGCUGGAUUCGGAGGUGGUGCUGGAGCGGGAGCUGGUGGCGGUCUUGGCGGAGGUGGUGGACUCGGUGGAGGCGGUGGGGGAGGCUUUGGAGGUGGUGGUGGAGGAGGAGUAGGUGGUGGAUCUGGUUUUGGAGGAGGAGCUGGUGGAGGGUUUGGAGCGGGAGGUGGUGCUGGUGGUGGAGCUGGGGGAGGAGGUGGUGGAGGCUUUGGAGGCGGUGGUGGUGGAGGACUUGGGGGUGGAGCAGGCGGAGGCUUCGGUGGAGGAGCUGGUGCCGGUGGUGGGUUUGGAGGUGGAUUGCCUUGAAGACGUGCAUGAAUGCUAAAGCGGCAUGCAUGCAUAUCUAAUCAAUUAAUAAUUUUCCAAUGUGAUCUAGUUUCUAUCAAAUUCCAAUACUGUAUUGUUGUAUCGAUCGAGUAUCUGUUGUGUCAACGUACUGUAAGUCUUGUUAUCGUUGCUUUUGGCAACGAAUUAUUGUUUUCAUGUCUAUUAAUUUGUCCGGUAUGAUCUAUUAAUGAUUGAUUGUAGACAACAAAUUGUUGAUCUUCAUAUUAAUAUAUGUCAUCUGCUAGCUCUUCAGUGAUAGAUGCAAGCAAGAGGGGUAUAGCUAGCUAGAAAAAUGGAGUUAAUGUAGAAAUUCAAGUAACUAGCAUGUGUAUCAAUCUUACUCAGAUUUACAAUGAAGAAAAUUAGAACUAAUGAGCGUAACGUUGCUAUAUAAAUUUGAAAACUAUUAUCUUUUUAAUAAUUAAUGAACGAAAAAAUGAAUCUAUGUUCAGAGGUGGUGGUGCCGUGGUUGCCAAAUUAUUGGCUCUGCACCACUAAGAUAGAAGAUCUGCAACCCAAAUCAUCUGAUGCGAGCAAGUCGCCUAUAAUCCCAAGCUCUGAGUACUCACUCCAAUCAUCAAGCCCUGAAGUCUGAGGAGUACUAUCCUUAACCUUUUUCCUCCUCCCGACCACGAAAAGGUCAUACUUGUGCACAAUCUCCCUCAACAUGUCCAAGGUUUGUUCCCCACUUUCAGAAACCGCUUCCCUGUAAAUCACGUAACGGCCGUUGCCGGUGUUGUUUAGCCUGAACUUCCUCAAACUCUCAAAGUCCAGAACACUGUCCCAGUCAAGCCCUGGCCCAAUUUCAGGCUCUGUGGGGGGCUUGAUAUGAAACACGGUUAGGAUGAUGCUCGGGUCGCCGGUCAUCCUUCCCGUCAAAGCCAAUGUUUCUCUAUCAUCUUCACCACCUAAGAAAAUCAACGCAACAUUGAACUGUGCUUGCCAAUCUUCUCGUUUGUGGUUUUGCCGGAGCGGGCCUCGGUUGACUAGAACUCCCACCGAACAAGGCGAUUCGUCUAGAACACUAAUGUUUAUGUUUCUGACGGUUUCGUCCUCCGAUUUAACAGCGCCGUCCACCGUCCAAAGGCGGUGGAAGGGGAGUAUGAUGAGAUGUGUGAGCCUGUCUAGGGCAAGGGUACAUAUCUGUUCGUACAUCCAUUUUGACGGCCAGACCGCCGUGAAGGGGUGGACCUCAACGGCGGCACCGUACUCCCCCUCGAAUUUGAGCAAAGAAACGAGGACGUCCUCGGAGUCGAAGCUGCUGGACAUUGUCGUCUUCUUUUGCAUGCGGUGGGAAAUGAGCAUGGGGGCGUCUUGGCCGGUCAUCUCUAUCAGGUGGAGGACGUUGAGAUCAAUAGGGUUUUCUCCGGUAGGGCAAGCCACAUCCAAUAAGUUGAUGACAGCUGGCACGUUGUCUUGUUUGUGGAUGCAUGAAAGAAUCUUGAGCUCCGAGUUAGGUCUAAUGCCUAGUACAUUUCUCUGCUCAUACCCUGCGUACCUAGUCGAUUUCUUGUACAGGUGCUUCACGGCAUAUGCCACGAUGAGGUGGGCAAAGAGGAUCAUCAACAUCGCCAAGGCAUAAACCCCGUCGGUGAUAUUCUGCAUCCAUCGCCAUAUGAUCGAUUUCAUAACUUGGUUCGGAAAUAACAAUAUGCAAGUUUAUUAUUUGAGAGAUGCAUGCAUACCUGGCCAUCAUAGAUCAUGAAAUAACCACCGAUUUCGACGGCACCUUUGCAACUCAUUAUGAAAGCGAGGGCGAAAGCAUCCUUGAUGGGAAUUCUACAGCAGAUUGCUGGUGCCAAAGAACCCAAGAAUUUGGCCAACAUAGUUAUUACCAACAAAACCAGUAAAUUAGCAUCGAAGCGAAGUUCUCUAAGAUCUGACAUAAGCACACAAUUGGUGACAAAGAGUGGCAUGAACACGCGGGAGACCAUGAAGUCGUAUUUCUGAACCAGGGUCGACCCGAGAGGAGGUCCACUUGGUACAACUAAGCCGAGAAAGAAAGGUCCGUAUAUAACAAGCUGUUUGGGAGCUCCGGAAACCAAGGCCAGCAAGACGACGCCAAAGAUGUAGCCAUUGUUUACAGGCUUGCCUUUAGGUGUCUGUCUGAUGAGCCAAUUCAUAGCCGGUCGGACCACGAGCACACAAGCAAGACAAUAUCCUAAGUUAAUAAGAGGGAAACUUAAAUUGUCUUGCUUGUAGGGAAACUUUUCCACACCUUUCUUGCUGGUUGGUAACGCUCUCGCAAUUGUUAUGAGAGUCAAGGUUAGCAUGUCGCAGACUAGAGCUGCUGACAAUCCUAAUCGUCCGAGUUCGGAAGUAAGGAUGAGGAGUUGGCCAAGGAGGGAAACUAUCACAGAAAAUGAUGUCCGAGAUAUUGAUAAUAUCAGGAAUUUGAUUCCAUAUGGCACUCCGUUUUCCUCUUUCAAAUUGUUUUUUCCCUUCUGAUAGUCCAACAAAUUCACUGUGGAAAAGCCAACAAUUAGGGGCACCAUCAAGGAGAAAAUGCCAGUGUAAAAUGCUUUUCUCCCAGUCUUCAAUAAUAGACUUGCAUCCAUCUUCACUGCUGCCAGAAACAAGAACAUCGAGUAGCCAAACAUUGUGAGAGUGCCAAGUACGUCCUGACUUGCCAAGGACAUUAUCCAGUCAUUGUACCAGUUUUCGAAAAAUUGAAUUCUGCCGAUCACCGCUGGACCAAGCAAGAAUCCUGCCUGCACCAGACAUGUUAUUCAUGAUUUUAGAAAAAUAUAUAGAAAUGCAGGUAAGAUGAUUAAGAACAUGUAUGUACUGUGUACUAUAUCGUCGUCAUGUGUUAAUACACUGUAAAAUCUCCCUAUGGUUUUUCAACAAAAGAAAUACAUACUAGCAUUUGAGAGACAAAUAAUGGGAGGCCAAAUGAACCAAGAAUGAGUUGGAAGAGCUGGGUGACUAAGAAGGUCAUGACCAUUUUCAUUUCGAGCAUUGGUAAUGUAGCACCCGUGGUAUCAAACUCAUUAGCAAUAGUUGUUUCUCUAGGCUUUCCCGGCCAAAUACCACUUGAAUGAAUGUUGGGUGGUAACUCCACACAUGUCCUGUUCUUCUUGAACUGGGCCCUUGACGGUGUAAAACUCAUUGUUGCUUCUUCUUGGUUGAUUCUUUCAAUGGAGGUUGAUAUGAUGAGAGAGAGAGAGAGAGAGAGAGAGAGAGAGAGAGAGAGAGAGAGAGAGAGAGAGAGAGAGAGAGAGAGAGAGUAGUAGUAGUAGUAAGUAGUNNNNNNNNNNNNNNNNNNNNNNNNNNNNNNNNNNNNNNNNNNNNNNNNNNNNNNNNNNNNNNNNNNNNNNNNNNNNNNNNNNNNNNNNNNNNNNNNNNNNNNNNNNNNNNNNNNNNNNNNNNNNNNNNNNNNNNNNNNNNNNNNNNNNNNNNNNNNNNNNNNNNNNNNNNNNNNNNNNNNNNNNNNNNNNNNNNNNNNNNNNNNNNNNNNNNNNNNNNNNNNNNNNNNNNNNNNNNNNNNNNNNNNNNNNNNNNNNNNNNNNNNNNNNNNNNNNNNNNNNNNNNNNNNNNNNNNNNNNNNNNNNNNNNNNNNNNNNNNNNNNNNNNNNNNNNNNNNNNNNNNNNNNNNNNNNNNNNNNNNNNNNNNNNNNNNNNNNNNNNNNNNNNNNNNNNNNNNNNNNNNNNNNNNNNNNNNNNNNNNNNNNNNNNNNNNNNNNNNNNNNNNNNNNNNNNNNNNNNNNNNNNNNNNNNNNNNNNNNNNNNNNNNNNNNNNNNNNNNNNNNNNNNNNNNNNNNNNNNNNNNNNNNNNNNNNNNNNNNNNNNNNNNNNNNNNNNNNNNNNNNNNNNNNNGAGAGAGAGAGAGAAUCAAACUGUGUAUUGGGUAAAAAUUAGCCAAUCUAUUUAAAGGUCCUGAAGUAGCGAAUGAGAUUCUUCAGUUGCCGCGUUAGCUAAGUUUCAUUUUCGCACAAUUCACCAAGUUUAAUAGUUUUUUUUUUCCUUGGAGAAGUUACUAACUUAUUAGUUGAGACGAAAAAAAAACUAAUUAAAUGAGACGUGAUAUGGUAUAUGUAACAUGCACGAACAAUUAUUACGGAUUAUAUGUACAACCAUGUUGUCUUUCUCUUCAACUAAUUACUGAGAAACAAAACUUUCUUCUAGAAUAAAUUUUUUACAGUUAGACUAGUUAAUCAACAAAGUUGUCUAAUUAACGUAUCAUUUCCCAUUAUCACAUGCAUGAAUUUAAUGGUGGUAAAAAUUAGGGAAAAAAACCAUUUGCACAAAAUAGAAAAAGUCAAACCUCAUUUCAAUGAUAAUCUUUUUUAUUAGCCCAUUUGAAUACAAUGUACUUAUUUUAAGCCUAAAUACACAAAUCUUUAUUAAAAUAUAAUAAAAUUAUAUUUUUAAAGACUUUUUUAUCCUUAGCUUUUACUUAAAGAGAAAAAGUGAAAAAUAUGGAGGGAAGACUUUGCCGGAAGCACACCGGGCUCAGGCGCCAGUCACCGGCGGCGGCAUUCCGGUCGCCGGACUCCGAACUCCGGCCGCCGGAAUCCGGUCACCGGUGACCGGAAUUUUCUGACGGCCGGAAAAUUGCCGGCAUCCGAUGGCCGGAAUUUUCCAAAAAUCUCACUGGAUUCUUUUAAAUGCCAUCGGAAUUUACGUGAUCUUAACCCAAGUACAAAAAAAAGUUUACUACCCCUAGUAAACUUUUACUGGGGGUAGUAAACUCAAAAUAAAGUUUCUCCAUGACCAGUAUACACCUUAAAACAGUGAAAAAUCAACUUAGAUGCAGAAAAAUAAAGUUUACUACCCCUAGUAAACCUCUGCUGGGGGUAGUAAACUUGCAAUACAGUUUUCCUAUGACCAUUAUAUACCUUAAAGGAGAGAAAAAAAUCAACAUAUAUGCNNNNNNNNNNNNNNNNNNNNNNNNNNNNNNNNNNNNNNNNNNNNNNNNNNNNNNNNNNNNNNNNNNNNNNNNNNNNNUUAGAUUCAAAAAACUAAAGUUUACUACCCCCAGUAAACUUUUAUUGGGGGUAGUAAACUUGCAAAACAAUAUUUUCAAGGCUAUAAUACAGACUAAAACAGAGGAAGAACAACUUAGAUGCAAAAAAAUAAAGUUUACUACCCCAUUAGACUUUUACUGGGGGUAGUAAACUUGCAAUCUAUUAUCUCCAGAGAAAAAUCAACACACAAGCAAAUAAUAGAAAAUUACUACCCUUAGUAAUUUUUAUAUUUUGGGUGUAGAGAGAGAGAGAGUAGUUUAACAACAAAAAAAUCACUGCUACAUUCGUCGCCGGCGCUUGGGAGGAGGCUACCCGACCCGGCCUUAGCCCGAAGACCCGACCCAAUGCAGACCUCCUCCUCCUCCUCCCCACUCCAAACCCUCCUCGACCUCAUCAACGAGACCCUCUCCCUCCUCCUCGGCACCUCUCUCACCGUCUGAUCCUUCCCCGUGCUGGCACCCCCUCCGCUCCAACCUCUUCUCCCUCCACUCCUCCAUCUCCUCCGUCUCCGACUCCCCCCACUGGGCCGAGAAUCCUCUCCUCUACACUCUCCUCCCCAACCUCCUCUCCACUCUCCAGCGCCUUAAGGCUCUCUCCGACCAAUGCAACGACUCGUCAUUUUCCGGCGGGAAGCUCCACAUGCAGAGCGACCUAGACAUGGCCGCCGCCUCCCUCUCUAACCUCCUCUGCGACCUCGACCUCCUCCUCAGAUCCGGCGUCCUCCACCAGUCCAACGCCAUCGUUCUCUCCCACCCGGGUCCCGGCUCCGACAAAGAGAAUCUCACCUUCUUCAUCCACGACCUCUUCACCCGCCUCCAAAUCGGCGGCGUCAAGUUCAAGAACAAGGCUCUCGAGUCCCUCCUUCAGCUUAUCCAAGACAACGACAAGGCCGCCGGACUCGUCGCCAAAGAAGCCAACGUGGCCUAUCUAAUUCACCUCCUCGAUUUCCACACCCAGCCCUGGGUCCGCGAACAGGCCACCUCCACCGUCUCGUCUAUCCCCAACCGUAGCUUCCUAGCAGGAAUACUGUGCAGUCCUCGCCGACGAGCUCCAUCACGCCAAGAUCUCGACGGUCAAGAUGUGCUAGGGUGAUCGAUCCUUACAGAUCAGGCUCCGAAAUGUCACCAUGAUCAUGCCAAACCUUCACAGGUGGAAGCUCUCCAGGUGCCGCCUCUAGUUCGCUUGAGACCUCUUGAUCGCCGCCAUUAGCGAGUUGAACACCGGCAGCUCCAACUCCUCCACGAACGAGCUGCUUCCGACGUCCAUGUCCGAUCGCCACCGAGGUUGACGAAUGCCGCAUGUGGGGUGAGUCCCGUCCUCAGAUCCGAUCUGGAUUCCGAGAGAGAGAGAGAGAGAGAGAGAGAGAGAUGAGAUAAUUAUUAAUAGAGUUAAGGAUAUUUUAGUCUUUUUCUUAAGAUUUGUGUAAUUGGCAUAGCAAACAGAUUUUCAUUGGAAUUGACAAUUAGUCCUUAUAAUUAGUAUUAAAUGGGCAUUUACUCUAAAAAUUAUGUUACAAUUGUAUAGCUCUUAAGUACCCCUCAUUACAGGUUUAUCUAAGAAGAUUUGGGAGUUAGUAGCGGCCAUCGCUUUCGCCCUUGUUGGGGAAUUUUCUUUGAGGGAAAAUGAUUGAAACCCCUUUUGUACCAAAUUUUUAUCCCAAAUGAUGUGGCACUAGCCUUUAGCAAAAUCAUGUGUUUUCUGUUAACUUUCCGGUGAUUGCUCCGCUUAAUCGCUCAUCGUGGUCAAGUAUCGACUAGUGGCUAGCAAGGAGAUUGAUCACGACCAAAAUCAUAGUUCUUCAUAGGCAAGGAAGAAAAUGACGGAGCUGGCGCGCUCUCUCUGUCUACAGUUGCUUGAUAAGAAGCUAGCUAGCGCAUCUUCAUCACCAUCACUGGCUACUCGCACCAGAAGGUGUUGGCACACCCCCAUAUACAUCAAAAGAGGUUGUUGACCGAUCCCUACGAUAUAAAGCUAGCUAAAUACCAGCCAAGCACGAAAUUGUGGUAGGAAACAAGGAUAUUUUAAGCGUAUAGUGUCAACGUCAACAUGAGUGAAUAUCAAUAUGGUAAGUUUGUAUAAAUAAGAAGACUUUUCCCUGCUUCACAAUGAAUUAGUUAGUAAUUUAUGUAAAAUGAACAAAGAAAAUGUCAAUAGAGUAGAGCUCUCUUUCUUUGUUUUCACUAUUAAUUCAUGUUUCUUCUAAUACUUCUAAGAAGACUUAUAGAAGAACUUCAUAUAUGUUAUAAUUCUAACAUCGUAAAGGUGAUGAGUUCAAUCCUUAAUUAGUCCUUACUCAAUUGUAAGAGUGAGACAGAGUCAAAGGCUUUUUAUUAAUUUUAUUUUUUUUAGGGAAACAGAGUUAAUCCAUUAAAAUUAUCAAAUGAUCUUAUAAGAUUAAGCUUGGAGGUCAAUAAAGAUCUUCAUAACAUCCACUACUCAAAUAAAGCUCUACAAAGCAGGCAAACCUAUAUUACCAUUAAAUGCCAAAUACAACCGUUAUAUUCACCAACUAAAAUGUGCUAUAAAAAGAAAAGAUGAACCUAAGGAAACAAAAAAGCAAAAAGAAAAAAAGUCUCUCAAACUCACCCCUAAUCAAGAAACGCAACCAAUGUGAAGAUUGUCUAGAUGCCUAGAGACCCAAUUGGUGUACGUUUCGAGAAAUCUAAACAGUCAAAUGACUUAAAAACUAAUCAUCCCGCGGAAAGGGAAGGGAGGGGGGGGGGGGGGGGGGGGGGGGUAACCGUCCUCUAGCUCCAAAGCAAGCUAGUUGAGACCAGUUUUAGUUUAUUCUAAUGCCCAAGAGGGCGUCCCCUCUUCUUAGGCACCUUCGCAGUAGUGACUGGAACCUCCACCAAAUCAAUCUCAUUCACCACCGAGUCCAUGGACACCAAAGCCAAGCUAAAUUUUGGACUUUUUUGUCCCCCACAUUCUUUUCAACUCGUUUCUGAACCCUAAUAGGGGAGGUGAAUUUUGAAGAGCCCAAUAGCGCAGGCCUAAUGCCCCUAACCUCACCCAUUGCUUUAGCAUAGUCAUCUCACCUUGCAGCUUAGAAAAGGUCCCCAGGCCUAGUUCCUUCUUGAGGCCCAACUCGGCUCGAAACUCUAAUUUGAAAUUAGGGUUUCCCGCCUUUGUUAAGGAUAGUCUGCUGCUCACAACCGUCGACCCAACUCUAUCCCGUGCCACCGGUACCACUGCCACAAUCGCCACUAAGUCUAGACCAGUCCCCACUGUCAAUCUUGGCUUAGACACCACCGUUUCUUUAGCUGCAUCAAUCGCUGUAAACUCCAACCUAUCCGCCACCUGUAAUAACACCAACCCAGAGAUCUUCUUCAAGUCGUCAUCAUCACGUAUAGUUGUCAUUGCCGUGAUUGAGAAAGCCACAACCUCUCCAAAUUCCAUGACACAUUUCAUAUUGGAGUUCUAGCACCACGUACAGUUACCUCCAGCGAGAAUGAGAAAUUUUGCUGAGCCCAAAUUCUGUUGUGACAUCAAGUGGAACUCUACUUCUUUGAACAAUCACCUUCCUCUCCAUCGCACCUUGGUCAAAAGGCAUGAAACUGCCAAGAGCGUUUCCGAGAAGGGUGACGGCUUUUGGGUUGUGCAUGGCUAUGUGUAAAGCCUUUACUGUUACCCGACCAAACCUCUAGGGACUGCAACGCCACCUUCUUCGGGUUAUCGUAAAACCACAGUCCUCCAUGGAAAGCGUAAUCCCUUGCCUCCACUUUCUUGAAUUGGAAAACAAAUACAAUGUCUUCCUCCUUGGAUCAAAACUUGUUUUCUUCAAAACCACCACAUGUGAUCGAGUUAGUAAAAGUCUUGGCAUGGAACUCCGAUCCUAUACCCAGGUUCGAAUCCCGCCGACGCUAAUUAGAGUAAAUCCCAAUUUAUGAUUGAUGGCUAGGGGAAAUAAGCGUUUUGAAAUGACCCCUCGGCAUGGAUUAGUCUCUAGGCCUAGGCCUUUAGAAAAUCUUUGAGGAUACCGUCGUUGAUACUAGAGUACUCUCAACAAAAAAAAAAAAAACUUGUUUCUUCAAACUCCAUAUGUCGGGAUCGGCACAUGCUUCAGCGUAAGUUGGUCGCAAACAUAGAAGUUGUAAGUUGGUCGCAAACAUAAAAGUAAGGAUCUGACGCCCAUCUUCCUCUCCAGCCAAAGCCAUCGUGUUCUCAUAAAUUAGUGAGAGCCAUUGAGAAGCCCAAGUAGUCGUUAUCCUAAAGCUUGAUCAACUCCAUGCUAGAAAAACCCUAGCCGCAGAGUGAGAAGUCUACGUUUUUUGUUUAUUUUAUACUGCAACCAAUUUUUUUAUUAACAUUAUUUUUAAUAAUGGUUAGACAAAAAAAACCCUAAGAGCACAACGAUUGUCAGGACCCACCCCAAAUUUCACCUUUAAACCGAAGGUAAGUUCUGCGGGGUCCACCUUCAAGAAAAAUUUACCAAAAAUUCGGCAUAACCUUCCUUGAAAAUGGACAAUCCUUACCUGAAAAAUCCAACUUAACACUUCUAUAAUCAAACAUCCAUCCUCAACACCUAGAGCCUUCCUGCUCCCCAAGAUCAUCACAUCUCCCAAUAAAUCAAAAACUAAACUUCUGAAAUUCCACAACCAAUAACAAAGACAACAAUAAAUCACUCUAUAACUGGUUAUCAGAGCAUAUCUAAUACUGAAAGAAUAACAAUGAAUAAAGAUUAAACGGAAGCAGCCUCUGACUAUGCCUCGACUCCAUGUACGCUCGACCUCAAUUAUACUUAGCCUGUAAACUGGGCAUUUAAAACCAAAGGGCUCAGGGGAAAGUAAUUUAAAAACGUUAGAGUGAGUGGACAAAAUAAUUUAAAUAAUUUAACAAAUACUCAAUUUAUAUAUUUUCCCACAUUUCAGCUUUAAAAACUUAGCUGCACGCAAUAUUUGAUAAAUCAUAUAACUUAAAUCCAUAAACCCAUAAGAAUGGACAAACCAGCCCCGCUGGUUAAGUCAAAUAAAGAAAUCUCGUAAAAAGAGAUAAACCAGCCCCGUUGGUUGAUCAAAUAUAUAUCUGAGAAGAAUAAAAUAAGGGGAAGAGUUAUCACCAUGAAAAAGGAGCCUCCCAGGCUAUAAUAGAGUCCCACGCUAAGCGCUCUACUCACCUAUAGUGAGGACCACUAAUAAUGGCUAGCUAACUAAUAAAUAUAAAUACCGAUCGGUUGCCUCCCAGGCUAUAAUAGUGUCCCACGCUACGCGCUCUACUCAUAUAUGAAGAGGACCGCUAAUAAGGCUAUAAUAGCGACUCACAUAUGAUGAGGACCGCUAAAAAGGUUAGCUAGUAAUAAUCAAUAUAAAAGCGACUCUAUAUUAUGGUGACUAAAAUUGCACAAAAAUCCUUUAAAUCCAUAAAACUUCCCCAAGAUCAUACGAAUGGUACGGUUCCCAACCGUACUUGAAAAGCAUAAUAAGAAAUUAUAAUAAACUCAAUGACGUGUCUCACACGUCAAAAUAUUCUCAAAACCAUAAUAUAAGCGAGAUAUAAUUAACAAAUAAAAAUCAUAAUUAAUAUCUCAAUCCAAAAUACUCGCUAAAACAUUCUCAAGGUCAAGAUCGAUAUUCCACCAAUAAUUUCGAAGAUUAUAAAUAGCAAACUACCGAAAAUCUCAUUUUCGGAAAUCUUUUAUAAAUCUCACAAUCCACCAUUAAAACCAUUUUAAUGAAAUCUGGAAUUUAUAAAAAAAAUCCAAACUCAAAUAUCAAAUUAAUAAUCCGAGCUCAAAUCCAUAAAUCUUGACCAACAAUUACAUCCAUGCAUCAAACUCAAAUAAUUUCCAAGAUCAUUUCAUAAGCCGAAGUUAUAAUAUAAGCUCGGAAAUAAAAUAAUAAAUUAUAAAAUCUUGCAUGCAUAUUUCUUUAAAAUCAAAAUGUCCACUCAUAAAUUUAAGCAUAAGCCCGACGAUAACCGCAUCGCCACUCAAGCGAGGUUCCCUUCGUGGGCACAAUAAAUAUGCUUAGAACCACUCUUCGAUUUAGGAAAUUAAAUGCUUUAACUUAAUCAUCGAAAUCCUCCCAAUUAACCCACUAAUAAGCUAAUUAGAUUUUUACCAAACUUCAUCUACAACUUCACUUCAUCGAUUCUAGCACUUUAGGACCAUAACCAAGAAAAUCCAAUGGUCGGAUUUAUUCUAUCAACCGCUAAUUUCUCCAAUCUCUGAAAAAUUCUAAACCUAACCAAAACUCAUCUAAAAAUUCCAAAUUAUACUUCAAUAAACUCCUCUUAUUAAAACCAUCUCAAAAACAGGAAAAACUGCCCUUAAGGGGCGGCGCCGCCGGCAGCCGAACUCCGGCAACCUCCAAUGCCUCCCAAAUUUCAACACAACAAUCCUCUCAACCCGCACGACAACUUCCUUAACUAGCACAAAAUCUAUUUCUAAGCCUAACUAGGUUAACCGAACCAAAACCUUAAAUUGAGCCCUAGAACUUUAAUUAUACAUUUCUCAUUAACAAGAUCGAAUUAGACCAAUUCCUUUUGAAGGAUUACUCACCUUGAUGAGAGCUACAAGAUGAGCCAAAAACUACGACUUAUGGUGGCCGGAAGAGAGAACUCCGGUGAAGGGCUGUCCGGCGUCUUGGGUGGGAUUCCUCUUGACCUGCGGCGUCACACGCUCGGUCACUGGCCUAGAAAGAGAGAGGGGGCGGCGGGGGUCAGAACGGAAGUGGUCCGGCGGUCUGUGGUGGCCGGACGACGGCGGAAGGAGGCUUGGUUUCUAGCGGGUCAAGAGAGAGAGAGAGAGAGAGAGAGAGAGAGAGAGAGAGAGAGAGAGAGAGAGAGAGAGAGAGAGAGAGUANNNNNNNNNNNNNNNNNNNNAAAAAGUCAACUUUUGGAGUUUUAAAUAGUAAACGGUUACUUAAAACGGUAAAAGGUCAAAGUAACCCAAAAGUAAAUAACCGCAAAUUGACUUAAGAACCGGGAUGUGAUAACGACUCGCCUCCAUCUCAUCAUCUCGGCCGACGGCGCCCGAGACGGGCUCCGGCCUUGCCCUCUGAGGUGACUGCCAGAUGAGACUCAAGCUUCUAUUGAUUCCAUCGUCCUUGGGUGACUAUUGGGUAGGCUUUGCCCAAGAUUGUCAUUGGAUCUGAUUUGGCUGGGAUGGGCAUGAAGGGGGAGUGCGUGUUUUCGAGGUCGGCGAUCUGUUUGCUGAUUUGUAUUCUCGCCAGACAAGGUUGCGGUUGCUCCGGUGGCGCAAGUGAGGGAUGGCGGAAUCUAGAUUGGAAUGGGUGUUCUCCGCGAAGGCUUGUUCUGUGGCGGCGCUACUUGAGAUGCUUGGAGUUAUUGACGGUUGAGGCCGGAGCAACGAGUACCAUGCUGGUGGUGGUGGUGUAAGGGCAGGUAUGUGGUAUACACGACAGUUGGAUGACUCGCAUAACGACGGAGGCGACAGUGGGGAUUGGCCCAAAUCUACCUGAUAGGCUUGCGGUUUUGGGCCUUCUUGGUCUACCUUUGGGCGUUUAGUUUAUAUUAUUUUAGUUUUUCUAGUUUUUUCUAUUUCCUAUGGGUUUAUCAUGUAGGACACUAUCACAUGAUUGUUGUGCCUCUAUGUUUUAGGGAAUAUGUUCUAUUUCCUGUGGGUUCACCCUUCAGGAUACUAGACCUAGGGUGUUUUAUGAGUAUGAGUACGAUUAUUAAAGGGUAGUCUAUCCCAUGUACGAGGUGAGGUAUGCUUCACAACUGCUUGUCUAUCUGUAGAUGAUAGCGGUAGAGUAUGUAAUAACUACUUCAGGCCUUCCCUUUACCCAAAUUUAUGAAAGUCAUAAUUGACUAUUUCAAAAAAUAAAAUAAAAAAUAAUGGUUAGACAAGAAAAAGGUUAGACGAGAAAAACUUGUACAAAUAGAACUGUCUGUCACCUAAAUAGAAAAAGAAAAAGUAAAUAUAUGAAACAUGAGAGUCCUUCUAGUGAGGACCCUUAAGUUGAGGACUUGUUAAGGACUUUUCGGUCUAUGGUUUAAAAGACAUAUUUUUCGAUCACAUCUUGUCAUCUCAUCCGUUCAGUUUUUAGGCCUAUAUGUGUAGAUCAACCCUACAAAUUUUCAGCCAAAUCGGUGAUCGUUAAAGUAACAAACUAGAUCAAAUUAAUGGACGAACCAAAUCUGUCAAACAUGAACCGUUCAAGUUCAUAAUUGGUAAAUCACACUUAUGAAUGUCUUAACGAUUUUUAAUAUGGCUGAAAAUUUACAGAAAUGAUCUACUCAUAAAUACCUAUAAACUGAACGGUUAAGAUGUGGAUAUAAGAUCGAAAAGUGGGAUAAACCGAAAAGUCUUUAACUUAAGAGUCCUCAUUAGAAGGGCUCCCUAUGAAAUAUAUGGGACUCCCCUAAAGUAGUAACAAUAGGAGUUUAUUAGAAAGGAAAAAACUUAAACAACUAAAUAGGCCUGAACCCAAAUGUCCUAAAGGGUUUCCCCUAAGCCUAGGCCCAACCCGUCAGAAGCACCAUGCUUGCUUUCAUCGCUGCCACCACCAGAACUACUCGAAGCCACCACUAGACGAAUAAUGAGCAUGAAAAGACCCAAACCAAUUGGUAGCAGGUCUCCAAUGCACUAUGUCAGCAACUCAAACCCUCGUUGUUGACGCCACUACCACCACCACCACCACCUGAAAAUGAUAUGGAUUUGAGAUCUAGAUCCAACCCACGCCACAUUCGCCAUCCCUUGAAACAGUGCAAGAUCUAAAAUGCAUGCCUUUGGGUUGGAUUGAACCUGAAACUAGCGUUGACGAAUAAUAAUGUCAAUCUCCAAGCCAAAAUAAAACCAAUACAACCACAUAUAGAAUUUUGGGAGCCAAACACUCCUCUAGAAACCAAUAUGUUAUAAUCUAUAAUCUGUAUACCUUAUAAUUUUGAAGAGUGAAAUUCACAAUCUUCAUUUUACAAUCAACACUUUUUUAUUUUUAAUAACUAAAAUAAGGUCUUUUAACUUCAUUUUUACACUUUUAUAAGAAUUGCAACCAAGAUCUCAAAAGAAUGUGAUUGAGAUCUGAUUUAUUUGUUCUACUAAUGAAUGUGUCUUCCUUGAAAAUGAAAAAGCAUAAUGUACAUUUGUUUAAACAUAGGGGAAGGGUCAAAAUUGUAUCAAAAACUACUUGAUCAAAAAAUGGUAAAUAAGUCGAAUCAAUCACCGGAUGGGUCAAGGUACGUUGGUUAACAUGAAAUCCCCAUGUCUAGCACUCGCGUCCCAACACUCACCAAUUUAUGGCCGGUAGGUUUAAAGACUCUUUAGGUUCGUGUGUUUGAGGUGACGAAUUAGUUUGAUUCUCAUGAAAAUUAUAAACUUGCUAACGUGUUCGAGAUGACUUCUUACCCAACCGUCAAACAAAAAAAAAAGAAAAAAAAAAGGUCUACAAUCCAUCACGUGCUAUAUGGAAGGGAAGUAGGGAACGACACGUCGUGGGAAUAUGGAAGGGAAAAUCUAAAGCUUCGUCUGGAAGCUCAGUCAUUAAAUACUUUCCACAGUGAGUGAGCUUCUCUAGGAUUUUGAGAAUAAAUGCGGCAGAUUCUAAUUGCUUCCUAUAUAAAACAACCCCACCUCCUUCUCGCCGUCCCUUUCUGCUCCCCAAACCCAAACCCCACUCCAUUCUGAUACCACCACCAUCACCAUGCUUGGCCUUAUCAGGCGAAGAGUCGCCUCCUCUCCCUCGGUAACUCAUUCCUCUCCAUUCUUUUUCCGCUCUAAUUUUGACAACAUUUUUGUAUAACGUCAUUUUUUUUCUCAACAUUUUUGUGCUCUUUUUGGUUUCUUCUCAGAUUUUGGGGCAGUCAUUAUCUUCAAUCCGAUCAAUUGCAAACAAGGAGGUUCGUACUGGACUUUUUUCCUUCUUUCUUUUGAACAGAUUUUUAUUUUUAUUUUUAUUUAUUUUGUUGUUGUUUAUGAUGAAAUAUGAACUGUCCUUUUCUAAUGUUACAGAAUGUGCAUGUCUGUAUUUGUUAAGUAAAUCAGUUUUUACGUCGAAAUGUAACUUUUGUUAUUGCAAUUUUAUUUUCAUGUGCUUGGUGAACAGAUUUUGCUUCAACCUAGAGGAGAGUUGUGUCCGGUGCGAAAUUACUCUCGCCUCAUUUUAGCAGGUAAUUUUGUUGGCAGUAGAUAUGUACAUUUUGGUUGUGAUGUGUUCAUUGUGUAAAUGAUAGUGAUGAUGUUGUAUCUGUUUUCCCUUUUACAGGUUCGUCGCCUAGUAUCAGAACUACAAGGUCAGUGACACUAAUUUUUGAUGUUUCUGUUGGAAAUUAUAAGUGUGUAUUCAUUAUGAACCUGUUUCGAUCCCUUUUUGGUGCAGGGAUGUUCUCGGCUCGGUUAUGCCAGAGCCCAUCGGGCAAAUGUGGAGUAUGCAUUUUUCUUCAGAGACUGGUGUGCUACUUCUCCCCUCUGUUUAUAUGAUUUUUAGUUAUAGUUGUCUGUAUGUUGUCGGCACAUUAAGCUGUUGCACUUUCUUGAAAUAUAUAGUUAGAUUUGUUAAUCAAGCAUUCUUGGAUGGUUUAAGAUUUUGAUAAGUGUGCACCUAAUAUAGCAAUUUACAUGUCUAUUGUGUUUUCAUAAGAAGACUUGGCUCUGACUUAAACCAGUAGUCUAUUGGCAGCUUGAUUGUGAGAAGUUUCUCUAGAUGUCUUGUUCUUAAUCUUCUGUUGAAGUGUGAAAGUGGAAGACUUCAAAAAUAUAAUCUCUCAAAAACACACACACACACACAGAGUUAAACUUUGGUGACACUCCUGGAAGGGUUCGGUUCAUAAUAUAUUGGCCUUUUAGUAAAAAGGAACCUUAUCUUUGGUAUGUCGGUGAUCUUUAGUUCCAUUGUGAAAUUUGUUGAUGUUUGACUUGUGAAUGAUUGUGUAAUGAAGGGGAUUUGGUUGACGCCGUUGUGCCUUUCAUGGGUGAAUCUAUUAAUGAUGGAAUUUUGGCGACAUUCUUGAAGAGUAUGCUUAACCAAUUUGAUAUAUUUGAUUUUCUUCAAAUGGUUACAAUAUUAAUUUGGUAUAUUUGAUAAUGUCUGCAUUUGGUAUUAUGUGAUAGAGUCUGGAGACCGGGUGGAACUCGAUGAACUGAUUGCUCAAAUUGAAACAGAUAAGGUGAUAUUACGAAGCUCUAUGUAAACCUAUUUAUGGAAGCUUA